UAAUCAUUACAAGAGGAUCAAUGCAUAUAAGUUUAGAAUCUAACAGAUUUCAGUAAAUGGCAUGAAUUUGGAAUUCUUGCAUUUGCAGUAAGGAUUUGGGAGUGUGAAAAGAGAAUCAUUGAAGUUAUGUUCAAUUGAUCUAGUUCACAAAGUAAAGAUCAUAGACAAACAUAGUAUGCAUACUUGGUGUGUGGCAUGACUAGUGUUUAAGAAAACAUAGUGUACAUGCUUGGAGCAUGGGACAACUAUUGUUUUAAAUUCAAGAAUAAAGUUGAUAGCUGAAACAGUAUACAAUGAAUAAUGUGUAAUCAUAUGGUGAUAAAUAAAAGGUGUUUUAUUUAUGUUCAAAGAGUUGAUACCAUAUUGGAUUCAAUUAUUAUUGUGUUUCACUUUGCAUGUUUUGACUUCCCGAAUAAACUAGGUUAUUCUUCCGGAAUGACUAAGUUAUUCAAACCAUCCACAGUCGGUCAUAUGUUGGAAGUAGAUAUGAAUUAAGACUGUCAUGGGUUGGCUUGUAGAGGUCUAAGGUGUUGGACAAAGGGCUACAACACUCAUGAGUGCUCAUAAGUUCUGAGUAUUGGAUUCAACCCGCGCUCAUUGGAAUCACUUCAUGGAUUUUAUCACGAGUGAUCAUGAGACGAUAAUAUCUUAUAUUCUUCAAACCUAGAGAUAUGAGUUGUUACUAUGAGUUGAUAGUACAUUGAUUGCACGAAAACGCAUUUGGUAACUCGGUGCUAUAAAACGUGCCUUUGUGUAUGAUUCAACAAGUAGUAGAACAAGCCAUAUGAGUCGAAGUUUAUCCAUUCCUUUUACCUUCGGGAUAAAAGCGAUAUCUGUGGGCCCCUCGAUGAUUUAGUGAUGACAAAAGUAAGUGCUCGGCCGGGCCUGGACUGAUUUGAUUUGUUCAAUUAGUCAGUCGUCAUAAAUCAGAAAUCGGGAAACAACAAAUGGACAGAGAGAAUGAUUAUAAUCCAUGUCUCAGUCCAUAUGAUAUCUAGAAUGGAGGAAUAUAUGAUCACUUAUCUAAUGGACAAGUCAUUGACAGAGGUCAGAGUUCAUCGACAAGGUCAGAGAUCGACAGAAGCUUUUGAGAGCUACGAUUGCUAGUCGGGUUCUGAAGUCAUACUUGCAAUAAUAGUUUUAGACUUAUCCAAGUGGGAGACUGUUGGAUUAAUGUCUAAGUCCAUAACUAUAAUUGGUAAGACUUGACCCGACCCGGCAUGGUCCAUUUGGGUUGCAUGGCAUCAUGCACUUGGAUAGACUAAAAUGAGAGAAAUAACACUUAAGGUUUAUUAAUAUAUUAUAAAUUCUAAUAUAUUAAUAGAGAUUAUUUAAUUAGUAUUGAUCAAGAAUUAAUCUAGAAUUAAUUAAGUGAUCAAAAGAAGACUAAUUAUAUAUAUGGGUUGAUUGUGUAAAUCUUCCAUAACUUAUAUAGUGGGCUAAUGCUCCAUGGAUUAUCAAGUUGGGCUAAAACCCAUAGGAUGCUCCAUGGUGUAUUUGAACCCAUGGAUCCAAGGAAAUGGAAAGCCAUGACAAUUAGGGUUUACCCUAAUUGUAACAACUAUAUAAGCAUCUUAUUGAUGUGAGAAAUCGGCCACGAGGUGUGUAUGGAGUGCAAACCGAUUCUUGAAGUGUUCUAAUUUAUCUCUAAGUUAUUCCAAGUGCUUAUGGUGUUGUAUGAACCAUUUGAGGUGUCACACUUGGGGCACUAGGCACUCAAGCUUCAUGAAGACAAGCACCAAAAAAAAGGUAUGUUAUUGUAACUUGUGUUAUUCAAAGUUUUGUAUGCUAGAAUAGAACAAUACCUUGGAAAGUUGAUAUUUGCAAGUAUAAUAGAGAAAACAUAGAUCCAAGGUAUUUAGGGUUGCAUGAACACUUAGGAUUUUUAGAUUGCUCAAAACCCAACAAACACGUAGACCAUUCGUUUGAUAACGCGGAAAAACUUUCGAGUACACGCGGUCCGCGUGUAUCCUAUUGCAAUUUUCUCAAUUUUCGCCCUUUGACCAAAACGAACAACGGCCUUAAAAUCCAACACUCUUUUACUGCAAGAAGGAAGAAGAAAUGUUAAGUGCAAAAAGGAUCUAUCUAAGACAUUUAUUCGAAAUUAGAAAAGAUGAAAACUAUAAUUUUUCCAAAAAUGCACUUCUUUAAUGUCUUUGGCGAGACGUCCUUCUCUUUCGAUUUUAGUAAUCCGGGGCAUCCAAUUGGAUGGCAUCUAGUUCAUUCGCAUUAUAACCUUCAUAGAAAGGUUUCAAACGAUGCCUAUUGACUUUAAAGAUUUGCCCCGCUGCUUCACUUUGGAUCUCAACCGCUCUGUGCUCAAAGACAUUUAGCACAACAAAUGGACCUAUCCGUUUUGACCAAAAUGAACACCGGCCUUAAAAUCCAACACUCUUUUACUGCAAGAAGGAAGAAGAAGAAAUUUUAAGUGCAAAAGUGAUCUAUCUAAGACAUUUAUUCGGAAUUAGAAAAGAUGAAAACUUUAAGUUUUCCAAAAAUGCCCUUCUUUAACGUCUUUGGCGAGACGUCCUUCUCUUUCGAUUUUAGUAAACCGGGGCAUCCAAUUGGAUGACAUCUAGAACAUUUGCAAUUAAACCUUCAUAGAAAGGUUUCAAACGACGCCCAUUGACUUCUAAGAUUUGCCCUGUUUCUUCACUUUGGAUCUUAACCGCUCCGUGCUCAAAGACUUUUAGCACAACAAAUGGACCUAUCCAUCUUGACCUCAAUUUUCCAAGAAAUAAUUUCAAUCGCGAGUGGUAAAGAAAAACGCUAUGUCCCGACUCAAAAUGCUUGUGGGUAAUGGACUUGUCAUGCAAAAGCUUCGUUUUCUCCUUGUAAAUUCUCCAGUUUUCAUAAGAGUCAUUUCUUAAUUCUUCCAACUCUUGAAGUUGAAGCUUCCUAUGCCUUCCCGCCUCAUCAAUGUUGAAGUUGCAUUGCUUGACUGCCCAAAUGGACGGUGUUCCAAUUCCACAGGAAGAUGACAUGGUUUUCCAAAAACUAAUCUAAAUGGAGACAUUCCUAUCAGGGUCUUGUAAGCGGUCCGAUAAGCCCACAAGGCAUCAUCAAGCCUCGAACUCCAAUCCUUUCUUGUUGGGUUCACAGUUUUCUCAAGAAUACUCUUCACCUCACAAUUCAAAACCUCCGCUUGGCCAUUCGUUUGAGGGUGGUAGGCGGUAGAGACACAAUGGGUCACGUUAUACUUUUUUAGCAAGGCCUCCAUCAUCUUAUUGCAAAAAUGCGUCCCUCGAUCACUAAUCAAAACCCUAGGCACACCAAAUCUCACAAAGACAUUAGAUUUUAAAAAGUCGAUAACCGUUUUGACAUCAUCCGAUCGUGUGGCUUUGGCCUCAACCCAUUUAGAAACAUAGUCAACCACGAGCAAGAUAUAAAAGUUGCCAAAUGAGACGGGAAAUGGACCCAUAAAAUCAAUCCCCCAUACAUCAAAAUUUUCACAAACAAGGAUUGGAUUUUGUGGCAUUUGGUUCUUUUACGAAAUGUUCCCCGUCCUUUGGCACCGUUCACAACUUUUGCAAAACAAGUAACGGUCGUGUGACAUGGUUGGCCAAAAUAGUCCACACUCAAGGACCUUUCUCAAGGUCCGGCUAGGUCCGAAAUGUCCCCCACAAGCAAAUUCAUGACAAAAUUGUAAAAUGGAUUGAUGCUCUUUUUGGGGCACACAUCGCCUAAUAAUUUGAUCGGGACAAUGUUUCCACAAAUAAGGUUCAUCCCACACAUAAUAUUUUGCAUCACUUUUCAAUUUGUCUUUUUGAGCACGUGUGAAUGUGUCGGGAUACCUUUCCGUGACCAAAAAGUUAACGAUAUCGGCAUACCAAGGAGUAGAUUGAGUAUGCGAAAAGAGAUGCUCAUCCGGAAACUCGUCCAGCAACGGGAGAGGAGUCUCAUUCGAAGUGAUCCGGCUUAGGUGAUCGACAACAAGAUCUCGCAUCCACUCUUGUCCCGGAUUUCCAAAUCAAAAUUUUGUAAUAGUAAAAUCCGCCGGAUGAGUCUUGGCUUUGCAUCUUUCUUUGUCAUUAAGUACUUGAGAGCUGCGUGAUCCGAAUACACAAAAACUUUGGUGCCAAGUAGAUAUUGCCUAAACUUCUCCAAAGAGAACACUAUGGCUAAUAGCUCCUUCUCCGUGAUAGAGUAGUUGCUUUGAGCAUUUUCUAGUGUCCUCGAUGCAUAGUAGAUCACAUGGGAGGGUCUUCCAUUCUUUUGACACAAAACGGCUCCUAUUGCAUAGUUUCUUGCAUCACACAUUAUAUCAAAGGGGAGAUCCCAAUUUGGUGCUUGCAUGAUGGGAAUGGAUGUAAGCAACUCUUUAAGCAUGUCGAAAGCUUCUUUGCACGCCUCAUUGAACUCGAAAUCAACAUCCUUUUACAAGAGUUGGCACAUUAGUCUUGUUAUCUUUGAAAAGUCCUUGAUGAAAAUCUUGCAACUCUCCACCCCAAGCUUUAAGCUUUAUUCAAUAUUCCAUGAGAAAAAAUUUACCGCGAAAACCCGUGAAAUCCGGCAACAGCUUGAGAUUCCGGCAAAAUUUCCGGCGACCUUUGAGAGAUAUUUUUAGUGGGGUUUGUAGCCUUGACCAAGAGGAGCACAAUGGUGGUGUCGGAAUUGCGAGAGGUGGCCGGAGUUGGCCGAAAAAUGGUCGGAAAGUGGCGAGAUGGUGGUUUUGGCACCCGGAAUUACAUCAACGGAUCAGACCAGAUUUUGGGUGGGGUUUGUAGAGCUCGAAAAAUGGAAGAGAAUGGCGGUGGUUUCAAGAAAUUCCGACCGGCGGUUGGACGGGAAAUCGAGUUUUAGUGAUGGAGAUGGAGGUUGUUUUAAUGGAGGAUAGAAGAGUAAGAAGAAGAAGAAUGAGGAAGAAGGGCCAGCUGAUGGCUUCUAUUAGGCUUAAGUUAUGGUCAAACGUGGUCAAAACCGAGUCAACAAAAGUCAACGCCUCACUCGGAUGCGUCUGUGAGUACACGCGUUCCGCGUGAAUAACCCUAGAUCAAUUAUGUUUGCCAUCCUUACACGCGGUCGAAUUCGGAGAGGUUACACGGUCCGUGUUGAUAACCCAUGCGGACGAACCCACGAGGACAUGUGGUCCGUGUGUAAUGCCCUAAAACGGUCCAUUUGCUCGAUAUUUCACACGGUCAUCUUCCCGAGUAAAUGCGGUCCGUUUGUAUAAACAUGCGGACGGCUCUUCGAGUAUACGUGGACCGCGUGGAAUGUUAUGUAAGCCCCGAUUUUUGAAAAUGGACGCAGACAUUUUUGUGGACAACAUGCGGACCACUCGUUUCUUAACGCGGAAGAACUUUCAAGUACACGCGGUCCGCGUGUAUCCUGUUGCAAUUUUCUCAAUUUUCGCCCUUUGACCAAAACGAACAACGGCCUUCAAAUGCAACACUCUUUUACUGCAAGAAGGAAGAAGAAAUGUUAAGUGCAAAAAGGAUCUAUCUAAGACAUUUAUGCGGAAUUAGAAAAGAUGAAAACUAUAAGUUUUCCAAAAAUGCACUUCUUUAACGUCUUUGGCGAGACGUCCUUCUCUUUCGAUUUUAGUAAACUGGGGCAUCCAAUUGGAUGGCAUCUAGUUCAUUUGCAUUAAAGCCUUCAUAGAAAGGUUUCAAACAAUGCCUAUUGACUUUAAAGAUUUGCCCCGCUGCUUCACUUUGGAUCUCAACCGCUUUGUGCUCAAAGACUUUUAGCACAACAAAUGGACCUAUCCAUUUUGACCAAAACGAACACCGGCCUUAAAAUCCAACACUCUUUUACUACAAGAAGGAAGAAGAAGAAAUGUUAAGUGCAAAAAUGAUCUAUCUAAUACAUUUAUUCGGAAUUAGAAAAGAUGAAAACUUUAAGUUUUCCAAAAAUGCCCUUCUUUAACGUCUUUGGCGAGACGUCCUUCUCUUUCGAUUUUAGUAAACCAGGGCAUCCAAUCGGAUGACAUAUAGGACAUUUGCAUUAAAACCUUCAUUGAAAGGUUUCAAACGAUGCCCAUUGACUUUAAAGAUUUGCCCCGUUUCUUCACUUUGGAUCUUAACUGCUCCGUGCUCAAAGACUUUUAGCACAACAAAUGGACCUAUCCAUCUUGACCUCAAUUUUCCGAGAAAUAAUUUCAAUCGUGAGUGGUAAAGCAAAACCCUAUGUCCUGACUCAAAAUGCUUGUGGGUAAUGGACUUGUCAUGGACAAGCUUCGUUUUCUCCUUGUAAAUUCUCGAGUUUUCAUAAGAGUCAUUUUUCAAUUCUUCCAACUCUUGAAGUUGAAGCUUCUUAUGCCUUCCCGCCUCAUCAAUGUUGAAGUUGCAUUGCUUGACCACCCAAAUGCACGGUGUUCCAAUUCCACAGGAAGAUGACAUGGUUUUCCAAAAACUAAUCUAAAUGGAGACAUUCCUAUCAGGGUCUUGUUGAUGGGGUUUGAGCAUUCUAACACUUCCUAAGUGUACAUGGAACCCUAAUAACCUUGGAUCUAUGUUUGUCUAAUUAUCAUGCAAAUUUAAAUUCCAAGGUUAUAUUCCUAUCUAGCAUACAUGGGGAACAAUUUUAACUUGAAUGAAAGAUUGAAUAACUUACCUUGUUGUUGCUUAUGAUCCUUGAAACCUUGUGAGCCUAGCACCCCAAGUGUGGUGCCUCAAAUGCUUCACACAACACCAAAUGCUCUUGGAAAGACUUUGAGAGAAUACACACUUCUUAAAAUCUGCCUAGCCCUCUUGUUUCAUAUGUGUAGCAGAUUUUGGUAGAGAAUGAGAUUCUUAUAUAAUGUUGACACAUCUAGGGUUACACCAUGUAAACCCUAAUGUGUCAUGACUCUUCAUUUCCAUGACCCAUGGGUUUGUAACUCCCAUGGAGCAUCCUAUGGGUGGAACCCAACUUGAUAAUCCAUGGAGCCUCUUAGCCCACUAUACAAGAUAUGAAUGAUUUACAUAAUCAACCCAUAUAUUUAAUUAGUUAUCUUUUGAUCACUUAAUUAAUUCUAAAUUAAUUCUUGAUCAAACUAAUUAAAUAAUAUUAUUAAUAUAUUAGAACUUAUAAUAUAUUAAUAAUCUCCAAGUGUUAUUUCUCUCAUUUAGUCUAUCCAAUUGCAUGGUGCCAUGCAACCCAAAUGGACCAUGCCGGGUCGGGUCAAGUACUGACCAGAAAUAGUUAUGGACUUAGACACCUUAUCCAACANNNNNNNNNNNNNNNNNNNNNNNNNNNNNNNNNNNNNNNNNNNNNNNNNNNNNNNNNNNNNNNNNNNNNNNNNNNNNNNNNNNNNNNNNNNNNNNNNNNNNNNNNNNNNNNNNNNNNNNNNNNNNNNNNNNNNNNNNNNNNNNNNNNNNNNNNNNNNNNNNNNNNNNNNNNNNNNNNNNNNNNNNNNNNNNNNNNNNNNNNNNNNNNNNNNNNNNNNNNNNNNNNNNNNNNNNNNNNNNNNNNNNNNNNNNNNNNNNNNNNNNNNNNNNNNNNNNNNNNNNNNNNNNNNNNNNNNNNNNNNNNNNNNNNNNNNNNNNNNNNNNNNNNNNNNNNNNNNNNNNNNNNNNNNNNNNNNNNNNNNNNNNNNNNNNNNNNNNNNNNNNNNNNNNNNNNNNNNNNNNNNNNNNNNNNNNNNNNNNNNNNNNNNNNNNNNNNNNNNNNNNNNNNNNNNNNNNNNNNNNNNNNNNNNNNNNNNNNNNNNNNNNNNNNNNNNNNNNNNNNNNNNNNNNNNNNNNNNNNNNNNNNNNNNNNNNNNNNNNNNNNNNNNNNNNNNNNNNNNNNNNNNNNNNNNNNNNNNNNNNNNNNNNNNNNNNNNNNNNNNNNNNNNNNNNNNNNNNNNNNNNNNNNNNNNNNNNNNNNNNNNNNNNNNNNNNNNNNNNNNNNNNNNNNNNNNNNNNNNNNNNNNNNNNNNNNNNNNNNNNNNNNNNNNNNNNNNNNNNNNNNNNNNNNNNNNNNNNNNNNNNNNNNNNNNNNNNNNNNNNNNNNNNNNNNNNNNNNNNNNNNNNNNNNNNNNNNNNNNNNNNNNNNNCCCAAAUGCACGGUGUUCCAAUUCCACAGGAAGAUGACAUGGUUUUCCAAAAACUAAUCUAAAUGGAGACAUUCCUAUCAGGGUCUUGUUGAUGGGGUUUGAGCAUUCUAACACUUCCUAAGUGUACAUGGAACCCUAAUAACCUUGGAUCUAUGUUUGUCUAAUUAUCAUGCAAAUUUAAAUUCCAAGGUUAUAUUCCUAUCUAGCAUACAUGGGGAACAAUUUUAACUUGAAUGAAAGAUUGAAUAACUUACCUUGUUGUUGCUUAUGAUCCUUGAAACCUUGUGAGCCUAGCACCCCAAGUGUGGUGCCUCAAAUGCUUCACACAACACCAAAUGCUCUUGGAAAGACUUUGAGAGAAUACACACUUCUUAAAAUCUGCCUAGCCCUCUAGUUUCUUAUGUGUAGCCGAUUUUGUAGAGAAUGGGAUUCUUAUAUAGUGUUGACACAUCUAGGGUUACACCAUGUAAACCCUAAUGUGUCAUGACUCUUCAUUUCCAUGACCCAUGGGUUUGUAACUCUCAUGGAGCAUCCUAUGGGUAGAUCCCAACUUGAUAAUCCAUAGAGCCUCUUAGCCCACUAUACAAGAUAUGAAUGAUUUACAUAAUCAACCCAUAUAUUUAAUUAGUUAUCUUUUGAUCACUUAAUUAAUUCUAAAUUAAUUCUUGAUCAAACUAAUUAAAUAAUAUUAUUAAUAUAUUAGAACUUAUAAUAUAUUAAUAAUCUCCAAGUGUUAUUUCUCUCAUUUAGUCUAUCCAAUUGCAUGGUGCCAUGCAACCCAAAUGGACCAUGNNNNNNNNNNNNNNNNNNNNNNNNNNNNNNNNNNNNNNNNNNNNNNNNNNNNNNNNNNNNNNNNNNNNNNNNNNNNNNNNNNNNNNNNNNNNNNNNNNNNNNNNNNNNNNNNNNNNNNNNNNNNNNNNNNNNNNNNNNNNNNNNNNNNNNNNNNNNNNNNNNNNNNNNNNNNNNNNNNNNNNNNNNNNNNNNNNNNNNNNNNNNNNNNNNNNNNNNNNNNNNNNNNNNNNNNNNNNNNNNNNNNNNNNNNNNNNNNNNNNNNNNNNNNNNNNNNNNNNNNNNNNNNNNNNNNNNNNNNNNNNNNNNNNNNNNNNNNNNNNNNNNNNNNNNNNNNNNNNNNNNNNNNNNNNNNNNNNNNNNNNNNNNNNNNNNNNNNNNNNNNNNNNNNNNNNNNNNNNNNNNNNNNNNNNNNNNNNNNNNNNNNNNNNNNNNNNNNNNNNNNNNNNNNNNNNNNNNNNNNNNNNNUUAUCCAAGUAGGUACUCUGACUAAGUCCAAUUAGUCUUUUACUCCGAUCUCUCAAGAUCCUUAUCCCUAGAAUAUAGGCAGCUUCACCAAGGUCCUUCAUAGCGAAACACUUCCCAAGCCAGGACUUUACUUCCUGCAGGGUUGGAAUGUCGUUUCCUAUGAGUAGUAUGUCAUCCACAUACAAUACCAAAAAGCUAACUAUACUCCCACUAGCCUUGACAUACACACAAGAUUCAUCUUCACUCCUAGAAAAGCCAAAUUCCUUGACCUUUUCAUCAAAGCAAAGAUUCCAUCUGCGAGGUGCUUGCUUCAAUCCAUAAAUGGAUUUCUCAAGCUUACACACUCUAUUAGGGUACUCGUUGCUGACAAAACCCUCUGGCUGACUCAUGUAAACAUCUUCAGCCAACUUUCCAUUAAGGAAAGCGGUUUUGACAUCCAUUUGCCAUAUUUCAUAGUCAUGAAAUGCAGCUAUGGCCAACAGAACCCGAAUAGACUUAAUCUUGGCUACUGGAGAAAAGGUCUCAUCAUAGUCCACUCUAGGAAUUUGAGAGAAGCCCUUUGCAACCAGUCUAGCCUUAUAAGUGUGUACUUUACCAUCCAUGUCGGUCUUCUUCUUGAAGACCCAUUUGCACCCUACUGUCUUACGACCUGGUACAUUCUCAACCAAGUUCCAAACUUGAUUGUCAUACAUGGACUGUAUUUCGCUGUCCAUUGCCUCUUUCCACUUGGCUGACUCAGGGCCUGCCAUGGCUUCCGUGUAACUGUUAGGUUUAUCUAGACCUAUCAGUGUCUCAUCAUUGAUAAGUGUAUCACCUUCUGCAGUAAUAUGGAAUCCAUAGUAAUGCUCAGGAGCAUUCCUAACCCUUGUGGAACACCUCAGAGGUACAGACUUGUUAAUUGGCUCAACAGGAGUUUCCUCCUCAAGUUGAGUGCUAAGGUUUGAAGUUCCUUCACCAUUUGACUCUUGAAUUUCUUCAAGAUUAACUUGCCUCCCACUAUUUCCUUGGCUUAUGAACUCUCUCUCUCUCUAAAGAAAGCCCUCCUAGCUACAAAGACCACAUUUUCACUAGGUCUGUAGAAGAGGUAACCAAAGGAUUGUUGUGGGUAGCCGAUGAAAAUACACCUCUCGCUUCGGGGUUCGAGCUUAUCAUGAGUCUCGCGUCUCACGAAAGCCUCGCAACCCCAAAUCUUGAUGUGGUCUAGUUUGGGUACUUUACCAGUCCACAUCUCGUGAGGAGUUUUGGCAACUUUCUUUGUAGGGACUAGAUUAAGGAUAUGGGCGGCAGUCUCUAAGGCAUACCCCCANNNNNNNNNNNNNNNNNNNNNNNUUAUUCAAAUCUAAACUAAACCCACUACUUAGCGAUAAAGUAUAAACUCCAAUCUUGGUAACAGGUAAAGCUUUCCUAUUCCCCAUGAUCAAGUUUAUCCUUCCUUGCUCCACAUCCUCACUUCUUCUUAGUCCCUGCAAGUCACAACAAAUAUGAAUACCACACCCGGUAUCAAGGACCCAAGAAUUAGAAUGGGGUGAGUUAUUAGAAAUGAUAGUGUAAAUACCUGCAUGGUUGGGUUUAACUUUCCCAUCCUUCACAUCUUGCUGGUAUUUUGGGCAGUUCCGCUUCCAAUGUGAUUUUUCAUGGCAAUAGAAGCAUUCAGCCUCUUUUGGGUCAGAAGAAGGAGUGAUGAAACCUUUCUUGGUUCCACUUGAAGAAGAGCCAUCAAGGGUCCGAGCCUUGGUACCCUUCGAAGAGCUCUUUCUUUUCUUCCCUCGACUUUUCCCGAUUGCCAAAACCGGAGUAGAGUUUGGAGUAGGAGUGUUAACAACCGACUUCCCCUUAAGACCUGUUUCUGCGGUCUUGAGAAGUCCCUGAAGUUUGCUGAGUGUGACCUCUUCCUUAUUCAUGUGAUAUGUCAUGCGGAAUUGAUCAUAGCACGAUGGUAAGGAGUGCAAAAUGAUAUCUAUUGCAAGCUCCUCAGGGAAGUUUACAUUAAGCUUCAGCAAUUGAUCCACAUACCUUUACAUUUUCUGCAUGUAGCUCAUGACAGAUUCCCCGUCCUUCAUCAUGGUUGUUAUCAUGGAGCAGAUGAUUUCAUACCUCUCUUGUCGUGCACUUUGAUGGUAUCUUUCCAUCAGAUCUUGGUGCAUUUCAUAAGGGUAGAAAUCCUCAUAGGACUUUUGGAGUUCCGCUGUCAUCGUGGCCAUCAUGAUGCAUGCCACUUUAGUAGCAUCCCUUUCAUGUGCCUAAAAGUCAGCAAUCUCCUGGGGAGUUGCAGUGGUCUCAUUAAUCUCCUUAAGCUCCUUAUCCAGGAGAUAUUCUUUUUCCUCGUAGCGGGUAAUCAUCCUGAUGUUUCUGAUCCACUCAUUGAAGUUGGAUCCAUCAAAAGUGACUUUCCCACACAAGUUCAUAAGGGUAAAGGAGCCAUUAGGAUUAGAGCCAGAAGCAUUGUUGAAAGACAUCUGAAGNNNNNNNNNNNNNNNNNNNNNNNNNNNNNNNNNNNNNNNNNNNNNNNNNNNNNNNNNNNNNNNNNNNNNNNNNNNUGUCACACCCCAAAACCACGAACGGCGGAAACGUUCAGGGGUGGAGGACGUCAUGUACAGUAUCACAACAGUGUAAUAUAAUAAACAAGCAACAACAUCAUCCAUUGCAUUAUAAGUAAAGUUUUAAUACAUGUGUGUUCUUUCAUUGUAGUAAGACACCAAAAAUAUACAAUCAAAAUAAAAGACGAGACUUGUCUGCUCCGUCUUCUCAAAACCUGGCCAUCGUACCUGUCUACUGCUGACCUGAGAAUACAAGUUAUUUUGAAAGCGAGUAUCAGCUUUAAAGCUGGUGAAUUCAUAAGAAAUUAAGUGUCGUUGUCUUGCUUAUGAAAAUCUGCUAUGAAGGCCAUGUAAACCUUUAAAUGAAAAUGUUGAGGUAAGUAUGAAAUCCCUAGAAAAACCCUUAUUUUCUAUAAGUAUGAAAUGUAGUCUUCUACCAAGACCCGAAUGUUUUGUUAUGACAAUGUAGUCUUCUACCAAGACCCGAAUGUUUUGUAAGUAAAAUGAUAGUUUUCCUUUGGUUGAUUAGUACUAAAGUACUUAGUCUAACUCAUCGUUUAUGUGAAGGUAUCACAAAAUAAAGUAAACAGGAAAAAUCACUAAUGUAAGUGUUAUCCCGAGGUACUAGGGCUAACACGAGGAAUAUAACUGUUAUCCCGAGGUACUAGGGCUAACAUAACAUAUAUAACCUAAUGAACAUCUGAAGAUUGUCCACUUUUCCUCUGUAGCAGCAGCAGGGCGGAGGAAUGGUUAGUCCCUGUAAAGGUACUCCUAGUAUAAGUAAUAACCGUAGGCAUCCGUAGAUGUUCAUCACCCACUGUUGCUAACAGAUGAGUUCCGGAAUGGUUAGUCCCGUACGUAUAUCCCGAGGUACUAGGGAUAGAGGCCCAUCUAUGUAUCCCGAGGUACUAGGGAUAGGGUCCUGUCUAGAUAUCCCGAGGUACUAGGGAUAUGCAGGAAGAUUUACACAGAAGGUACUAAUAAAUCAUCCUCGCAAUUCGAGAUACAAGUAUUCAUGUUAAUGUACACAGUUAAGUGUAUCUACGUAAAGGUACUCAUGUAAUGCGUUCAUGUAAGCGUGUUCAUGUAUCAUGUAAGUAUAUGUAAACGUACUCAUGUAUCAUGUAAUCAAAUGUAAAGGUACUCAUGUAUCAGGUAAUGUACUGGUAUAGACUCAUGAAUGAACUGACUCUUGUGUGAUUCCUUGUAAUAGGAAUUAUGUUUGAAAUCUCCAAAUUAUCCCUAUGAUAAUUUACUGGAAGGUAAUUGGUUGUUCAAGUAGGUUUAUACACUCUUAUUACUCAAGAGUGUGAAAAACUAAAUGAAAGUUGUAAACUAUAACAUCAAUACAUAUAUAAGAAUAUAAGUGUACAUGCAUUAGUUCAAGAGUGUAAAAAUGGUUUUGUAAGACAUCUUAUGGAUUUUGAACAAUAAUUAACAAUGACUUGAUGUCAUUUUAAUAUACAUUUCAAAGGUAAAACAUUUGAUAACAAUGUGUUUUUAAGAUUUAAAAACCUUUCAUGCAUCACAUUUUGUAGUAUGUGAAAUCUGUUAAAUGACAAACACAGUUAUAAAAUACAUAUCAAUGAUUUAAUAACAUGUUUGUUUCUACUUGUAUUCCCCCCUUUUAAGCAUUUAAAAUCAUUUAAAACAUUGAUUAGGGGUAUGAACUCACCUGUAGUUGGUGAUUGGGAUGAACUGAACGGUAUAGGAUGGCUAGGUGUCAAGCGAGGACUUGUACACACACUACGAUCCUAAUGAACAUAUAAUCACACAUAUAUGCACUCAAUUAGUCUUAAGUUACUAAUUGAUAAAGCUAAGACAUCCUAGACAUAAUAAACACUUUAUAUAAGUGUUUUAAGCCCUAAGGAUUGCAUCUAAGCUAUUGUGGGACAAGGUACUUGUGUUUAGGGUUCCAAAGGACCCUAUAUGUGAGUUUACUCCUCAUAUACUAACACACAUGGAGUUUACGGUUGUAAACUCUUGAGUUUACGGCCGUAAACUCCCAACCAUGGGGGUUUUGUGUGUUUUGAAGUUCCAAAUGAUUCCUAGAAUUAUUCCAACUUGGUGGUUAAAUUCUUGGAAGGGUUUAAGGUCUAGAAACACUCCAUUUAGGAGUUUACGGCCCUAAGGCCAUUUCCUUUGGAGUUUACGGCCGUAAACUCCCUUGGAAUGGUGUUCUUGUUGUUUUCAAGUCUCAAGCAUAGGUGGUAUAAGUUCUAGGCUUUUAUUCCAAGCAUAUGAAGACAUUAGGCACACUUUGGUGCCAUUCUUUCAUGUUUACGGCCCAAGAACAAAGUCUUGGCCGUAAACUCACUUUGAUAAGUGAUUUUGAUGUGCUUAAGGCCUUAGAUUAAAUGGGAACUAGUCUUGAUAAAAGUCUUAAAGCUUUAGGUGCCUUAAAACACCAUUUUGAGUUUGAAAAGGGAGUUUACGGCCUAAGAAACUCUUGGGCCGUGAACUCCCAAACUUGGGUGAUUCUUGGUUGUUUUCUUGUCCCUAACACACAUACAUAUGAGUCUAAAGCAGUUGCAUAACACUAGGGUCGGUCUCGGCUUUGUUUCGGGAGUUUACCGCCCAAGAACACCUUGGGGAGUAAACUCCUAGAUCUAGUGAUUUAGCCUUCUAAAUCAUGUUAUAAACACAUAAUAAGCAUUAUAACACUACUAGAAAGAGUUACUCAUGUUUUGGUAUAAAAACCCGAAGAUCCGUGAGAGAGAAAAUGGCUUUUCUCUAGUUGGAAAUGUGAAUAAUGAAUGAAUUUGGUUCAGAAAUCUAUUUAUAGUCCUGAGAUAUUUUUGGCAGAAAAUAUUUUUAUUCCUGAAAUGAUCUCUAAUAUAAUAGAGUGUUGGAAUAACAGUGUUGCACAAAACCCUAGUGCACCCACUCUCCUGAUAUUUCCUGAAGUGUAAACCCUGAAUUACUCAAACUUACGCGAAAAAUCUGAAAAUUAACUGUGACUGCUAUAACUUCUAUUGAAGUGAUAUAGUUUGUACAGAAUGGAAAUUUCNAAAAUGAAGACUCUUCAUUUUUCUAACUCUUGUGUUCUUUUAAUGGUUUUAACUCAAGUGACUUUUGGUUUUCCAUAACUUGAGGACAAGUUAUGGACUCCAUUAAAACACAUUAUGAUAAAGAAUUAAUCUACCACAUAGGUUACAAACAAUUCCUAUGAUCAUCUAAACAUCAUAAGAUCAAGAACAUGAACAUGAACACUAUCAUGAAUCAAAAUUACAAUUAAAAAUUUGUAACUUUGAUAACUAGUUGUUGUAAAUGGAUUAGGAAACACAUUACUCCAUCUAAAAUCAGUUUUCAAGUACCAAAACAUUUUACGGUAAUGUUUCUAGUCCAUUUCCAGCAAGUAAAGUCGAAAAUCUGCAUUCUGAGGCUCCAACUCGCCGAGUGCAUGAACCUACUCGGCGAGUAGGUUGAAGAUACAAGUGAACUCGACGAGUCCCCCCAUGGACUCGGCGAGUUCAUCAGGCAGACAACAAGCUUUUCGACUUUUUUCAACUUUUUAGCACAAAUAACAAACAAACAAGCCUAGGCUCUGAUACCACUGAUGGGUUUUGAGCAUUCUAACACUUCCUAAGUGUACAUGCAACCCUAAUAACCUUGGAUCUAUGUUUGUCUAAUUAUCAUGCAAAGUUGAAUUCCAAGGUUAUAUUCCUAUCUAGCAUACAUGGGGAACAAUUUUUAACUUGAAUGAAAGAUAGAAUAACUUACCUUGUUGUUGCUUAUGUUCCUUGAAACCUUGUGAGCCUAGCACCCCAAGUGUGAUGCCUCAAAUGCUUCACACAACACCAAAUGCUCUUGGAAAGACUUUUGAGAGAAUACACACUUCUUGAAAUCGGCCUAGCCCUCUUGUUUCAUAUGUGUAGCCGAUUUUGGUGGAGAAUGGGACUCUUAUAUAGUGUUGACACAUCUAGGGUUACACCAUGUAAACCCUAAUGUGUCAUGACUCUUCAUUUCCAUGACCCAUGGGUUUGUAACUCCCAUGGAGCAUCCUAUGGGUGGAACCCAACUUGAUAAUCCAUGGAGCCUCUUAGCCCACUAUACAAGAUAUGAAUGAUUUACAUAAUCAACCCAUAUAUUUAAUUAGUUAUCUUUUGAUCACUAAAUUAAUUCUUGAUCAAACUAAUUAAAUAAUAUUAUUAAUAUAUUAGAACUUAUAAUAUAUUAAUAAUCUCCAAGUGUUAUUUCUCUCAUUUAGUCUAUCCAAUUGCAUGGUGCCAUGCAACCCAAAUGGACCAUGUCGGGUCGGGUCAAGUACUGACCAGAAAUAGUUAUGGACUUAGACACCUUAUCCAACACUUGUAAGCGGUCAGAUAGGCCCACAAGGCAUCAUCAAGCCUCGAACUCCAAUCCUCUCUUGUUAGGUUCACAGUUUUCUCAAGAAUACUCUUCACCUCACAAUUCAAAACCUCCGCUUGGCCAUUCAUUUGAGGGUGGUAGGCGGUAGAGACACGAUGGGUCACAUUGUACUUUUUUAGCAAGGCCUCCAUCACCUUAUUGCAAAAAUGCGUCCCUCGACCACUAAUCAAAGCCCUAGGAACACCAAAUCUCACAAAGACAUUAGAUUUUAAAAAGUCGAUAACCGUUUUGACAUCAUCCGAUCAUGUGGCUUUGGCCUCAACCCAUUUAGAAGCAUAGUCAACCACGAGCAAGAUAUAAAAGUUGCCAAAUGAGACGGGAAAUGGACCCAUAAAAUCAAUCCCCCAUACAUCAAAAUUUUCACAAACAAGGAUUGGAUUUUGUGGCAUUUGGUUCUUUUGCGAAAUGUUGCCCGUCCUUUGGCACCAUUCAUAACUUUUGCAAAACAAGUAACAGUCGUGUGACAUGGUUGGCCAAAAUAGUCCACACUCAAGGACCUUUCUCAAGGUCCGGCUAGGUCCAAAAUGUCCCCCACAAGCAAAUUCAUGAUAGUCCACACUCAAGGACCUUUCUCAAGGUCAGGCUAGGUCUGAAAUGUCCCCCACAAGCAAAUUCAUGACAAAAUUGUAAAAUGGAUUGAUGCUCUUUCUGGGGCAGACAUCGCCUAAUAAUUUGAUCGGUACAAUGUUUCCAAAAAUAAGGUUCAUCCCACACAUAAUAUUUUGCAUCAUUUUUCAAUUCGUCUUUUUAAGCACGUGUGAAUGUGUUGGGAUACCUUUCCAUGACCAAAAAGGUAACGAUAUCGACAUACCAAGGAGUAGAUUGAGUAAGGGAAAAGAGAUGCUCAUCCGGAAACUCGUCCCGCAACGGGAGAGGAGUCUCAUUUGAAGUGAUCCGGAUUAGGUGAUCGGCAACAAGAUCUCGCAUCCACUCUUGUCCCGGAUUUCCAAAUCAAAUUUUUGUAAUAGUAAAAUCCACCGGAUGAGUCUUGGCUUUUCAUCUUUCUUUGUCAUUAAGCACUUGAGAGCUGCGUGCUCCGAAUACACAAUAACUUUGGUGCCAAGUAGAUAUUGCCUAAACUUCUCCAAAGAGAACACUAUGGCCAAUAGCUCCUUCUCCGUGAUAGAGUAGUUGCUUUGUGCAUUGUCUAGUGUCCUCGAUGCAUAGUAGAUCACAUGGGAGGCUCUUCCAUUCUUUUGACCCAAAACGGCUCCUAUUGCAUAGUUGCUUGCAUCACACAUGAUCUCAAAGGGGAGAUCCUAAUUUGGUGCUUGCAUGAUGGGAAUGGAUGUAAGCAACUCUUUGAGCUUGUCGAAAGCUUCUUUGCACGCCUCAUUGAACUCGAAAUAAACAUCCUUUUACAAGAGUUGGCACAUUGGUCUUGUUAUCUUUGAAAAGUCCUUGAUGAAUCUCCGGUAGAAACCUGCAUGGCCCAAAAACGAACGAACCUCCCGAACACAAGUCGGGUAAGGUAAGCUUUGAAUAACAUCAAUCUUGGCCUUAUCUACUUGAAUUCCUUUAUUUGACACAUGUGACCCAAAAUAAGAGCUUGACUCACCAUAAAAUGACAUUUUUCAAAGUUUAAAACCAAAUUCGUUUCAAUACAUCUUUGCAAAAUUUUGGUGAGAUUGGUCAAACACUCUUGAAAGGAGUUUUCGUAUACCGUAAAAUCGUCCAUGAAAUCUUCAAUUAUAUUUACAACAUAUUCCGAAAAGAUACUAACCAUGCAACAUUGGAAAGUGGUCGGGAUGUUACACAAUCCGAAUGAUAGUCUCUGGUAUGCAAAAGUGUCAAAUGGACAUGUAAAGGUUGACUUUUCUUGGUCUUCCGGUGCCACCGGGAUUUGGUGAAAAUUGGAGUACCCGUCUAGACAACAAUAAUGAGAUUUUCCGGCCAACCUUUCUAACAUUUGGUCAAUGAAAGGUAAUGGAAAAUGAUAUUUUCUUGUGCUUGCAUUGAGUUUGCGGUAGUCAAUACAUACUCUCCACUUGUUUUACACGCGGGUGGGGACCAUCAUACCUUUGUUGUUCUCAACCACCAUGAUCCCCGUCUUCUUCGAUACUACUUGCACCGGGCUCACCCAUUUGCUAUCCAAGAUUGGAUAGAUCAUUCCCGUAUCUAGGAGCUUCAAAAUCUCUUUCUUGACCACUUCCAUCAUUGGCGGAUUCAACCUUCUUUGCGUGUCUCGACUCGGCUUGCAUUCAUCAUCCAUCAAGAUCUUGUGCAUACAAGUGAAGGUGCUCAAUCCUUUAAUAUUCACAAUCGUCCAUCCCAUGGCUUCUUUAUGUUCCUUCAACACCUUGAGGAGUUUCUCUUCUUCAAAUUCGGUUAGAUGGGUCGAUAUGAUAACCGAAAGUGUCUCAUUUUUGCCCAACUAAGUAUACUUCAAGUGUUGAGGAAGGACCUUUAGUUCCAAUUUUGAUGGUUGGACAAGGGAGGGCGGCAAUCUUGUGUGAGUCUGAGGUAAUUCAAUUUUAUUCACACUAAAUUGAGUGGUUUUCUUGAUCUCUAAAUUGUUAACCAAUCUUUCAACUUUCGGAUCUUAUGAGUAGAGCUUUAACUUCUUGGCUAAUUUACCAUAAUCAAAUCCUUUGCUCAAUAACAUCUCCAACAUGUCACCCUUAGACAACUCGAACAACUCUUGGGUUAAUGGUUUGACAACAUCAAUAAAGCACAAGGUGGAAACAUCACUAGGACAUCUCAUAGCAUCAUAAAUGUUAAAACUUAUUGUUUCGCCAUCAAACUCCAUUGUUAAGCUUCCUACAUACAUAUAAAUCUUUGUUCUAGCCAUCUUCAAGAAUGGUCUCCCAAGUAAAAUUAUACCCGACUUUGAGGACACUUGUUCAUCUAGAUCAAUCACAUAGAAAUCCGCCAGGAAGACCAUUGGUUCACUUGCACUAGGACAUCUUCCAAAACACCUCUAGGAAAGACACUUGUUUUAUCCGCAAGAGAGAUUAUGACACCGGUUUCACUUAAAGGACCAACAUUCAAUGAUUCAUACACCGAAUAGGGCAUGACAUUAAUAGAAGCACCAAUGUCAAGCAUGGAACUACUAAAAGUGACAUCUCCAAUCUUGUAAGGAACCGUAAACAUUCCUGGAUCUUUGCACUUAGGUGGAAGCUUCCUUUGUAAAACUGCGGGUGCAUUUUCGUUCAUUGAGAUUUUCUCAUUUCCCUUCAACUUUCUCUUGUUGGUGCAAAGCUCUUUCAAGAAUUUUGCAUAUCUAGGAAUUUGUUUGAUUGCAUCGAGUAAAGGAAUGUUUAAUUCCACCUUUUAGAAGGUGUCCAUAAUUUCUUUCUCCACCAUGUUCUUCUUUGAAGCUACAAGUCGGGAGGGGAAUGGCAGUUGAGUGGCUAUUGGAGUCACUAGAGGGGUAGUCUUCUUUGGGACUCCAGCUUGUGCAUCAUUCUUAACUAUAGAUUCUUCAAUGGGAAUGACUUAUAUUUGUUCCUCUUCAUCCCUUGGCUUCUUCUUUGAACUACUUUCUCCAGUUUCUUUGCCACUUCUCAAGGUCACCACAUUGACAUUUGGGUUCUUUUCUGUUUGAGAAGGGAGUUUACCACGGGACUCCAACUUGCUUAUGGAUGUAACUAUAUCUCCCAUUUGUGCUUCAAGGUUAGAGAUACUAGUCCUUGUCUCUUUUUGGAAUUGUUGGGUACUAGUGGCUAGGAUUUGACAGUGUCUUCAAGGGACAUUCCGGAACUACUUGGUUGGGAUUGAGGAGGUUGUUGGUGUUGUGGAGGGUGUGGUUUGGAUUGAUAGUGUGGUUGCGGGUGUUGGUAGUGAGGUUUUGGUGGUGGAUAGGAAGGUCUAACCAAUGCAUUUUGAGGCAAUGGUCUUGGGUUGAAGCUCAUGUUGGGAUUUGGCUUCCAACUUGAAUUAUUUGCAUUUUGGUAACAGGAUGGAUUGGUGUGGUAGUUUUGGAACUCUCCCGUGGUAUUUACAUGUUCCGCAUCUUCUUGAAGAAUGGGACACAUAUCCGUACGAUGUUCCAUUGUUGCACAUAUUCCACAAACCAUCACUUGUGGAGUUUGUCCCAUGGCUAGCUUUUGGACAACGAAGGUUAGAUCUUUGAUUUGAGACUCUAGGUUUGAUGUUCCCACUUCAUUGAUUUUUUGUUGAGUUUCUCUCUUCAUAUCUUGGCGAGGGCCAAAAUGUUGUGAAUUUGCGGUUAUGGUGUUGAAGAGUUGUGUUGUGUGUUGUGGUGUUUUGCUAAAGACAUCUCCACCACUUGAGGCAUCAACUAGUUUUCUCUCCAUUGGUAGCAAUCCCUCAUAGAAGUGUUGAAUGAGGAGUUGUUCCGAAAUUUGGUGUUGUGGGCAACUAUAACACAAGUUGUUGAACCUCUCCCAAUAAUCAUGAAAAGUCUCAUUUUGACCUUGGCGGAUUCCACAAAUCUCAUUUCUAAGACUUGAGACUCUUGAAGCGGGAUAGAACUUGUCAAGAAAAUCUCUUGCUAUAUCGGUCCAUGAGUUGAUUGACCCCAUUGGAAGAUAGAAUAACCAAUCAUUUGCUCUAUCGGCCAAUGAAAAGGGGAAUGCCCUUAGCUUAAUUUGGUCAUCGGUUGACCCUUGUGGCUUCAUACUAGUGCAAAUAAUGUGGAACAUCUUCAAGUGCUUAUGAGGGUCUUUAUUCUCCAAUCCAUGAAAAGUUGGGAGGUGAUGUACUAAACUUCACUUCAACUCCAAUCCUCCUUCCAAAACCGAGUAAUUGAAAUCGGUUGGAGUUUGUGUGACAUCGAUUUCCAUCAUUUGCCUCAAAGUUCUCUCGGUAACUUCUCCUCCGUCCGCCAUCGCAAUUAGUUCAAUAAUGGGUGGAUUUUGUUGUAGAGGUGGUGCUUCAGGAAUUUAUUGGCGAGGGUUAGGACUAGAAUCGGGUUCUGUAUCGCUUGAUGAAGCGGGUUCAACCUCCGGAUCCCCGUGACGAUUAGAAGUUUGACCAUGUUCAACUCACUAUUCCUUCGCCAAACGCCUUGCUUCUUUUUCAAUUUCCGGAUUGUAAAUCAAGUCACAUGUACGCUGAGAUCUGGGCAUAGAGAAACAAAUUGAUAAAAAAAUAAACCAAUCCCCGGCAACGGUGCCAAAAUUUGGUGGUUGUCGAGGUCAACAAAAUUAAUACCCUAAAUAUUACACACUAAAAAUUGUGUAUAGUGGUAAAGGGAUCGUAUCCACGGAGAUUAGUUCAAUUAAAUCUCUAUGUAAAUCACUUGCUCAAGUAAUUGUAAAACAAAAGUAAAAGUAACAUGGGGGGUUUAAUUCUUUUUUAUUGUUUGACAAAAUUAAAACUAGCUAGAAUGUAAAUAUGACAAGUAAACAAGUAAAAGAUUUGAUUAAAUUCAAUGAAGUGAAAUUUGUUGAUUUUAGGAUAUACCACAUGGAUGACAUAGUUGACUUAUCAUUAGACUAAAAGGAACAACACUUGUAAAUUGGUUUAACUUGGUUAUAGCAAUUCAUAAGCACAAAUUACCUCAACUCUUCUUAGAUAUUAAAAUGGUUAGAGGAUCUCUAACACAUUCCCUUAAUUAAAGUCACAAAAUCAAUGAAUCAUAUAAUCUUGUGAAAAUCAAUUAGCUUAGUUCUAAGAGUUACCAAAUCCAUAAGAUAAUCAAAUGCUUACAUUAUCAUUAUGGAGGAAACAUUCCCAUGGUCUAAAUGAAAUGAAAACAAACAUAUAAACCAUUUGUUGCUUACUAAUUUGAGGGUCCAUUACAUAAACAAGAAAUUAGUCAAAAAUAAAUAAAUAUUUAUUCUUCUAAGCUCAUGAUCAAAGAUAAACAAACAUAACAAGAUGUUUAGCUAGAAAACAUUCCCAUAAACUUCAACACAAGAUAACAUUUAGUCUUCAAAGCAACCAAUCAUCCAUGGGAUUAAACCCUAAUCAACCAAAUGAGUAUUUAGCCAAGCAUGGCCAAAGUAAAAGAAAUACAAGAAAGUUUAGAAAUACCAAACAUUGUUCUAAGUGCAAGAUGGAAAGAAAUAACACCAAUGUUCAAAUUCUUCAAAUUCUUCCAAAGUGUUAUUGAGAGAAAAGAGUAGUCUUCUCCAAGUGAUUCCCCUCAAAAAUGCUUCAAAUCUCCAGCAAAAAGGCUUCAUUUCUGGAUUCAAAAAGUUCCCAAAAGCUACCCACCAGCCUUCCAAAAAUAGAGUCAACAAGUCAAAACCGGGGUUCACAUCAGCACCAUUCACGCGGACCGCGUAGGGAUCCACGCAGACCGUGUGGGUCUCGCUGAUUGCAUGCCUUGACCCAUUAAAAAGUACAAUCCAACCCAAUCUUUUAAUUUAUGCUCCAGCCCACAUGCACAACUCUUGGGAGCCCAAUUUGUUGGAUUAGUGUCUAAGCCCGUAACCAUAUUUGGUAAGUACUUGACCCAGUUGUGCAUGGUCCUUUUGGGUUGCCUUCACCAAAGCAACUUGACUGGAGAAAUAAAUAGAGAGAGAGGUUAUUAUGAUUUAUUAAUAUAUUAUAAGAAUAAUAUAUUAAAGGAGAAAUCAUAUUUGUUUAAUUAAUAUUGGUCAAUAAUUAAUUAAGAAUUAAUUUUGUGAUCAAGUGUAAUUAAUUAAACUAGAGGGCUAAAUUGUAAUUAUGUGAUAGUUCCAAAAUAGGGCAAUGGGUAUCCUAGUUGCAGGAUGGACGAAUUCAAGGGAUAAGAUAUCCUUGAAAUCGUCCAAAGGUCCAAGGGAUAAGGGUCAUCAAGGCUUAUCUUUUGAUUGCUUGGUGGGCAAGCAACUAGAUAAGGAUAAGGACUGAAACCCUAAUCUCAACCCUAUAUAAAGACCCCUAAGGCAUAAGAAAACGUCCACUUGAUCCCUAGGGUAUCUAGAUCUGAUUUCUACCUCCUCCCUUCUCUCUCUAUAGCCUCUCUAAUUGCUUGUGGUGUUUGUGAGACAUUAGAGGCACUACACUUGUGGUGCUUGCUUUCAAGACUUAGGGUUUGAAGAUUUAACUUGUUAUUGCAAUAUAACAAUAAGAGGUAUGUGAUCUAACCUUCUAUGUGAAUUUCGAAAAUAGUAGGCUGCAUUAGGGUUUUAUUCAUGUGUUCAUAAUGUUGUGUAUCUAAUAGUGAAAACAUAGAUCCAAAUCUAGGGUUGCAUGCACACAUGGGAUUGUUUGUAUAAAACCCAUCACAAUUGUGUUAUUCCAAAGCCUCCAAUGAUGAUCCAAUGCUCCUUCACUCUUCCGUAGCUCGAGUUCUUGUCCAAAGAUUAAGUCCAAAGCGCUUCUUGCUUAUAUUGACACCGAGCCCAAUUGCACCACCUCAAGUUCACAAGCAAUCCAAAAGCCUCCAAAAGUCCCGCACUCCUUCCAUACCUCCAGUAACGAAUAGUCUUCAGUAAAUCCUACAAAAUAAGCUCAAAAGACUGAAAAGCACUCGACAAAGGAAAAAAUAAUAAAAAGAGAAAAUAUGCAUGAAGCUUAACUAAAAUGAGAUGGUUUUAACUAAAAAUAAACUAUGAAAAGAAGUAAUAAAAACGAAACUAUCAGUAUUACAAGUUCGUGGUGAUCCCUUUUGGGCUCACCAAUGCACCGUUAAAUUUCAUGGAUCUCAUAAACCGGGUGUGUAGGCCUGUGUUGGACCACUCUAUCAUUGUCUUCAUCGAUGAUAUAUUGGUCUAUUCGAAGACCAGAACAUCAUGGGGAGAAUUUGCAUGAGAUUCUUAGGGUACUAAUGAUGGAGAGGCUAUACACCAAGUUCUCUAAGUGUGAGUACUGGUUGCGCGAGGUUCAGUUUCUAGGACACCUCAUCAAUCAGAAUGGUAUCUUGGUUGACCCAGCCAAGAUAGAGGCAGUUCUGCGAUGGGAUGUUCCGAAUUCUCCAUCUAAGAUUCAGAGUUUUCUUGGGUUGGCAGAAUAUUAUCGGAGAUUCAUUCAAGACUUCUCUAAGAUUACGGUUCCUCUCACAAAGUUGUCUAGGAAGGAUGUUGUGUUUAGUUGGGGGCCUGAGCACCAGGCAUCGUUUGAGACUCUUCAACAUAGACUUUGUGAGGCGUCGGUACUUGCCCUCCCCGGGGGAGUUAAGGAUGUCAUGGUCUAUUGUGAUGUAUCCAUCUCGGGAUUGGGUGUUGUGUUGAUGCAGAGAGGGCAUGUUAUUUCAUAUGCUUCGAGGCCGCUGAAGCCUCAUGAGGCAAAGUAUCCAACCCAUGAUCUUGAGUUGGGGGCGGUGGUUUUCGUCCUCAAGAUUUGGCACCACUAUCUUUACGGGGUUAAGCAUACUAUCUACACAGACUGUUAGGGUACAAAGUUAUUCAUGGAUUAACUUUGUGAUGACUUGACUUGAGAAGAACCACUUGCACAUGUGGGGUUAGAGCCUUGUGACAUAUGUGUGUGUGUGUGUGUGAGAGAGAGAGAGAGACUUGUUAGGACAUCUAUAAAUAGUGGAUUGCAUUCCACUAAUAAAGUGUUCUUAGAGAUAUAGUUCAUUGAUAUUAGUGAUUGAGAUAUUUAUGUAGAACGAGAUCUAGAUCCUUUUUUGUAACUCAUUGCUAUGAUCGAAUAUAUCUUCUAGCACCCAAAUCACAAUGUUCAUUGUGUUCUUUACAAUUUCGCAUGUCAAAUCAAAAGCUCAUAACUCUAUAAUUGGUAUCAGAGCGAUUCUUUGAAGAUCGAAGUGAUUUUUGAAGAAACGGUUCUUGAUUUUGAUGGCCUAAAGUUUCCCGAGAACCCGAUAACUAAAAGUGGAACAUUAGAUCAAAACUUUUAAUGGCCUAGAUCAAACAAGGCAUAUUUGUAAUUAUUAACAAUUUCAAUGGUAACAUUGACUUUUUACAAUAAAGUACAAGGGUAGUUAAGGGAUAAAAAUUAACAUACAUAAUAAUUAAUCAAAAUUAAUUUUGAAAAUACAAAUCUCUCUCAUCGUCUUUCUCUUUCCCCCAUGUUCAUCUUCAUCCCAGAUUUUGAGAUGAAAUCACUGAAUCUCACCUCUUCAUCCCACAUUUUGAGAUGAAAUCGUCGAAUCUCGUCGUGUUCUUAUUGGCGUCUUCAGUUGCCAGAGUGUAUCACCUCCACCUUUGCUCCUCCAUACACAUGUGAAUCACCAAUUGUAUCAUUGUCAUUGAUUUUCCCUAAAACGCUUGUUAUAUCUCUUAUUGGUUAUCUACCACCGUAUAUCUGGAAUAGAAAUGGUUGUCUUUAGUCGCCGCACCAUUCUCACCAUUGUCUUCAAUCACCAGAGUCUACCAACACCGCAUCUGCUCCUCCACAACCCUGAAUCGUUGAUUUGACCUAAAGCAUAAUCGAUGUCUCUCAUUCCUUACCGAUUGCAGUAGAUUUGGAAUAGAAGUGGCAAAAUUAUCUAAUCAAAGUUGCUUCGUCAAUUCACUCAACUUCAAUCAUUAGGUAUCAUUAAUCCUUACCUACUUGUAUUAUUCGGUUUUUAAUUUGGUAUGAAAUCAAUUCAUCUGUAGAAUUAUCUCUCUUCUUUCAUCUAAACGGAUACUCUUCAGAUUUGGUUGAUUUAACUAAGGUUUCUAUAACAAUGUGUUGAUUUAACUAGGUUUUCUGUAACAUUGUGUGGCUGGAAUUCUUUGAUUCUGAUUCUGAUUCAUUUUCACUUUAAUCAAUGCAUAUAACCGUGGCAUGCCAUCACCAUAAUAUGCAAACCACACCUGGUAAUCUUGAAAUGAAUUUUCCAUUCGAUCUGAAUCAAAAUUGUGAAAGUGAGGUUCAGGAACACUCAUUUCUAACUCUUCAUCAUGUUUAUUUAUUAGGUUCCACUUAUGUUGUUUAUGUCCUGAUUAUGUGGUGUGUUUGUAAUAGAGAGGAAAUGGCAGACUUGAAGUUCGAGAUCUUACAUCUGCUUUGGUUGUUGGUUAGUCGAGCCAGAUAUCUUUUUAUUUUAUUUUAUUAUUAUUCUUUUUUUUGGUCUAUUUGUUUGUAAACUAAGUUACAUGUCAAUUUUGUUCUUGAUUGUUGGAAAAUAUUUAGUUAAUUUAUGGAUUUUUGACAUAAUAGAAUUUGAGAUUUUUAUGAUUUCUCAUAGUUGAACACUCUGCAUAUUUUUAUGAUUUAUUUGUAUUCAAGUUUUCAUAUGUUUACAAAUGAUUUUUGAAUUAAAUGACCAUCCAAGUUAUAAAUACAUCACAAUUUAACCAUACUUCUUAUACUUCUUAUAGAUAUAAACAUAACAAUUAGGUAGAGAACAUCUUAAUUAAAAAGAAUGCUAUCAGAUAUGCCUGAUGUCACAGAAUUGCAUCCUGUACCUGAGGCUCACGUUCCUAUGAUGAAAUUCAAGUUGAAUGGUGUAUCUAUAUAUCUUCUCUAUGCAAAACUUUCACUUUGGGUCAUACCUGAAGUAACUAAACUUUCCUAUCUUUCUUUCAUCUCCAUCUGUUACUGAAAACUAGUUGGUUACUUUACUAAUGAACUCCAUUUUACAGGAUUUGGAUAUUUCUCAAGAUUCAAUACUGUAGAAUGCAGACGAAUAGAUGGUUCGGAGUCUUAAUGGAUGAAGAGUUACCAACCAGAUCAUGCGCUAUAUCUAAAAUGUGAUAAUUUUUAGGUUAGUUAACUUAUUUAAAAAAAUUGGAAGCAAACAUUUUGUUUAAAAAUGUACGGAUAAUGUUUUCAUAACUUCUCUAAAUAUCAUUUAUGCUUGAAUUCAAUUGGUUUAAUCUUAUAUUCUUAUUUUUUAUGAUAUUAAAGCCUGCUACAAGUGAUUUUAUUUUAAGGAAUACUGGAAAUUGCAGCCCUAGGUACAUGAGGUGCACCAUUAAUUAGGUGAUACAUGUUGUCUUAAUGUCUUUCAUUUUCAUCUACUUUUCUUGUGAAAUGUUUUAAUGUAAGAUUGAUUUUGUUGUUGUUUGUUUAGAUUCCUUGCACUUCAGAUCUUUUGAACACAUCUGGCAUGCAAUUGGCUUUAUUGGUUCAUCCAUUAGCUCUUCCACAUCCAUUCAAGGAGCCUAUCCAAGUAAGACUGAAAAUUGGAAAAUACUUGUUUUCUUGAAAUUAUUGAAAUUGAGAUAUAAUAAUUUCAAUAUAUACUAAAAAUGUGUGAAUUAUUUUUCCAGAUAAUGGAUUUUGGUGAAGGUGAACCUGUUCGUUGUUCUUGUUGCAAAGGCUAUAUAAAGCUUUGACUUUAGGAGCAUCAACUGUCAUGAUGGGGAGAUUUUUAGCAGGAAGUACUGAAGCUCCUGGAGCUUAUACAAAUCAGGUUGGUAACUUGUAAUUUUAAAUUUAUUAAGAAAAAAUAAAACACUCGUAUAUAACUUACCAGAUUAAGUCCUUUUUCUCAUUUUGGUCAACUAAGGUGGUCAACGAGUUAAAAAAUAUCGAGGAAUGGGAUCUCUAGAAGCAAUGAAAAAAGGAAGUGAUGCAAGCAGAUCUCAAAUAACUUAUUUAAUUUAUAUGUAUUAGUUAAUUAAUACAUAUAAAUUAAAAUAUCACGCCUUCAUUUGAUUUCUAUACAUCAAAAAUCAGUAUUCACAACUUAUAAAUCAUGAGCACUCUUGUAUUUAUUUCUUUCUUUCUCAAUCUCUGUUGUUGGUUUGUGAGUAUGCAGAAAACAUUUUUUUUUGACUUAUUGGACAUGCUUGAGGAUAAAAGUUGAAAAAUAGAAGAUGAUUUUGACUUGCCAUCGUGGUCAGGUGAUGAACUUGGUGUCAGGGUUCUCGUGAAUGUUGAUAGCUUUGGUGUUGUUGGAGAUGGAGUUUAUGAUGACACAAAGGUGAAUAUAAAUAUAUAGUCUUUCUUGAAUGUGUUGAUGGAGUCAUUAAUGGGAUUCUUUUUAUUUUCAUGUAUGUUACAUAACAGGCCUUUAGAGAUGGAUGGAAGGAAGCAUGUGUUACAGAUUGCAUUCACAGGAAGCAGUGCAAUAUAUAAUGAUAUAUGCAUGAGAACUCAAUUGUAAAAAUGGAAGAACAAGACUCGGAAGAAUAACAAGGAUCUCUAUGUGGAUAUGAUUCAAAGUGUCAUCCAACAACUCUUCUAUCAGGUCAAUCAUAAUUGAUAAUGGUUCAUGUUCAAAUUUUCUUGAAUUUUUGUAUUUGUCUGAAUCAUGGUGUGACGGUUUUAAGUAAAUCACAUGUAAUUCAUAUGUGAAUUACAUGUGAUUCACAUGUAAAUCACAUAAGAAUUACAUGUGAUUCACAUGUAAUUCACACAUGAUUCAUAUGUAAAUCACAUAUGAGUUAUGUGUGAUUCACAUGUAAAUCACAAGUGAUUCACAUAUGAAUUACAUGUAAUUCACAUAUGAAUUACAUGUGAUUCGCAUGUAAUUCACAUAUGAUUCACUUGUGAUUCACAUGUAAAUCACAUAUGAAUUACAUGUGAUUCACAUGUAAAUCACUAGUGAAUCACAUUAGAAUUACAUGUGAUUUACAUGUAUAUAAUAUAUAAUUCACAUAUGAAUUACAUGUGAUUCACAUGCAAAUCACAUAUACUUCACAUAUGAUUCACUUGUGAUUCACAUGUAAAUCACUUAUGAAUUACAUGUGAUUCACACAUAUGAAUUAUAUGUGAUUCACAUAUAAAUUACAUGUAAUUCACAUAUUAAUCACAUGUAAUUCACAUGUAAAUCACAAGUGAACCACAUAUUAAUUACAUGUGAUUCACAUGUAAAUCACAAGUGAAUAACAUAUGAAUUACAUUUGAUUCACAUGUAAAUCACUAGUGAAUCACAUAUGAAUUACGUCUAUAUGCACACAUGCAUUUUGUGUGAGUGGUCUUCUUUUUUUUUUUUUAAUUUUCUUGUGAAUUUUACAUUUGAAUCUUAAAAGAUGCAAUCACAUGUGAAUAUUACAUUAUAUAAUCACAUUUGAAUCUUACAUGAUAUAAUCAUAUGUGAAUCUUACAUGAUAUAUACAUGUGCAUUUUUCUGAGUGUUCUUGCAUUAAUCAUUUUUUUUUUUAAAAAAAUCUUGUAGGUUUUGAUGAAUUUGUUGAAAAAUUGAAGAGGUGAAAAGUGAUAAAUUGAAAAAAAUAUGGAAAUCUUGAUAUGAAGAAAUGAUAAGACUGUGAAUCUUUGUAGCAUUUUUUAUUUUUUAUUAUGUAUCGAGUAAAUUAUUUGUUAUAUUAUGUUUAUAGAUUGAUUAAUAAAAAUUAUAUUUUCUAUGAUUUACUUACGAAUAUUAUAGUAUAAUAAAUAUACAUUUGAAUCUAAAAGGUUGAUUUUUUUUUGUUAAAAAAAGUAAAGUUUUUUUAACUAAUCUAGUUUUUUUUUGGUAAAACUUACUGAUUUUUAGCAUUUUACUUUUUUUUUUAAAAAAAUAUAUAGUUUUCUUUUAAUUGCAGUUUUUUUUUUUGAAAAAAAUUGUAGUUUUUUUGAAGAAAAAAAAAUGCAAUUUUUAAAAAAAUAAUUACAGUUUUUUUAAGAAAAAUGCAGUUUUUCUUUUUUUUUUGAAAAAAUUGCAGUUUUAAAAAAAUAUAUUUUUUUCAAAUUUUUAAAAAAUUCAUGUAUUCUGAAAAAAUUAAAAAAUCUGCAUAUUUAAAAAAAAAACGAAAAAUAUUAAAAAAAUCCGAAAUUUGAUUUGUUAUGUUAAUUUUUAAAACUUUUAAAUAAUUUUUUCAAUAACAAAAAAAAAAUAAACAUUAAAUGAGAUCGGUAAGAUGACGAUCAUGCCCUUAAUGAAUUAAUUUUGAUCUAACNNNNNNNNNNNNNNNNNNNNNNNNNNNNNNNNNNNNNNNNNNNNNNUGUCUAAUUUUUUUAUAUUAUUUUGCUUACAUUUUAUUUUAUUUAUUUUUUAUUUAGAUUUUAUUUGAGAUUUUUUUGAUUAUAUUGUUUAAUGUUUUUUACAUUUAGUUCGUAUAUAUUAUUUUGAAUAAUUGUUUCUAGUUUUUUGACAUUGUGUUUGAAUACAUUUUUUUGGCGUUUUGUUUCUUUAUAUUUUUUAAAAUAUUCUUUGUAAAAAAAUAUAAAAAAAAAGUUCGUUAAAUGUGAAUAUUAUUAACAUAUAUUAGUUAUAGAUUUAUUUUUUUAAUAAGAUUAAUAGAUAGGUUAACUGAAAUUCGAAAACGAAUUUCAAAUUAUAUAAUGACUAAUUGGAAAUCAUAUAACUCGAAAACGAAUAAAAUUUCUAAAAAAUAAAAAUAAAUAGUGAGAGUAAAAUGGUCUUUUUAAAUGGACAACAUAUGUACACUGCAAUUUAUUUAAACCGGGAUGAUUCUUGUCAAAAUUUUAAAAGUUCGACUGAAAAUAUGAAUCUAACUAAACCAUAGGGACCAAAACUAUAACUUAGUCUAAAUUUUAUCAAAAUCAAGAAUAUGUUUGGCCAAGCUCGUAAACUUUACUUCCUACGAGACAUUUGAAAUAUAAAAAUUAUCAUGGUCACAAGUAUGUAACUUUUUGCUUCACAAAAUAUUAUUGUUUAAAAUACAUUAUUAAAAGUUAAACAUGUAGAAAUUUAUUUUCACAAAAUACUAUUAUUUCAUAAUUUUUAAUUGUAUUUUAUGGACAAAAUAAACAGAUUGUUAGUUAAUCAUUUUAUUUUUUUUAAACUAUUAUUUUUUUAAAAACAAACAAAAAAUUUGUUAAUUAUUUAUAAUAACUUUUUAUAAAUUAAAAAUAAUGAGUUGGAACCUAUUUUUCAUGAACAAGUCAACUUACGUUAACAAAUCAACUGUAUAAAAUUAAAUACAUAUAUCUAAAGAAUAUGUAAAUGUAAAACUUGGUAAACAAAAUUUAUAUUUGUUUGAAUGCGAUCCAUAUUUUGAGUUAACAAGAAGCCAUAAAUGCGUGAAUUGAAAAGUACAAAGAAAAAUUCCAAAGCCACGUGAUCCUAUGAUCUACACAAAUCUUAUCAUAUACAGUCAGCAGAAUAGAAUUGAACAACAAACCAAAAAGCAAAAGCGAAAAGCUCCAUUAGAAAAAGACGGUUUUCUCCUUGCCUUGUAGACAAAAUUACAAUCAAGGACAAGAAUUGUAACCCUUUUAUCUCUCCCCUCUUUCUAAACACUACCCAUCAUCAACAGAAAGUAAAUUACCCUUUUGCCCUUCUCAUGCUUAUUCACCUCUCUCAAAACACAUAUACACAUUUUAACGACUCAAAAGACCCAAACCAUCACACACUUGAUGACAAGUUGUUUAACCUCUACAUAUACAAAAAAAAAAAAAAAAAAAAAAAAAAAAAAAAAACUAGACAUAAAUGUCCCUCUCUCAUCAAAAGUCACUUUGUGCUUAUCGAUCUUCUAAGCAACAGCGGAAAUGCCCCGACAGUUGAAUCCUUCGACCCUGACCGCAGGGCAUUUUUGUCCAAAUUUUCCUCUGGCACAACUUCCGCCACUUUUACGGGAAGAUGGUGAGGCUUCGAUGGUGGGUGAUGGUGGGUUUGGGUUUUCGUUACCAAAUUGAGCAUCUUGGACCACCGGGUUUGCCGCCCGGCUAGGUGGAGACCCACAAAAGAAUGGUGGUGAUGAUGAUACCACAUUGUUGGAUUUUUCAGCACCACCAUAACAUUCCUAUAAGAAAAAAAAGAAAUAAAAGAUGACGAGAUGAGAUUUUAAGUAAAAAGGUUUGACUUUCUUAUUUUAAGAAGGGGGAGUAAUAACAACCAAAAUAACUUUCUUAUUUUAAAAAGGGGGAGUAAUAACAACCAAAAUAAAGCUGGAUCUUGGAGGUACUAUAACAUUAAACACCUCCACUGGUUUUCAAUCAAGUAGUUAAAACCUUAUUGUACAACAUGCAAUAAAAGUUGUGAUUUUUUUGGUUUUUGGUGAAAUCGGAUUCAUGACAGAAUGAGAUUUCCAUGUUUCGAUACAAACCCACCAACCAUGGUAGCAAAGUCUCCAUGGAAAUUAAAAUGGGUGUAGGAGUAUUCUAUAGUCGAAAAGAAUGUGAUCUAUGACAAGAUCUUUGCCAAUAAAAUGAUAAAUUAUAAGAAAAUGAUGAACAAAAUUGGUAAAAUAUUAUACCCAAAUUGAGGAAUUCAAAGUGUUUGACCAUAUAAUAUCAAAAGUUUAGUCUAAUGAGUCUACAGUUAUAUAAUAAAGCCCCAAUUAAGAAUUAGCCAGCAGAAUCCCUGAAAAAGUUGAACAGAAAGAAACAAAAUUUUGGACUCAAACGUCACUUUCAAAUUAAAGGAAAAUUGGACACUCGACUUGAAUCCCAUAAAUCGAAGUAAAAGUUUAGAAGGUGAUUUCAAGGAAUUUUGACUUUUCGUAAGUGGCGAAAUCAUGAUGUAUCAAAGUGAAAAAAAAAUGGCUUGUAAUUUUGAUCUCAAAUUACCGAGAAUUCAGUUUGAAAUUAUAUCACACAAAUCACAGAAGUUCGUUGAUACCUUCGUCAAAAUCAUAUCUAGAAGCUCCAUCCUUGAUUUUGAUUCAUGCGUCUCCGUUUGAUGACUGUUUUAAACAUCAGAACCAAAUCAGAAUCAAAACAUCUGGAGAUAAAUCGAACGAAAAAUGAGAAAAGUAAAACAGAAAUUGAAACAAUACAUGGAAUAGUGCUGCUGCCAUCGAGGAGAUGAGGUAGAAAUGGACUCUUUCAUUGAAGGAUUCAAGAGAUACAAUCGACGAGGUUUCGGGCAAACAACGCCGUUCAUCGUCUCUUCACUUCUCACCAAGGCGUUGUUGUUGAUGUUGUUGUUGUUCUGCUGUUGAUAUGCACAGCGAUUCAUCAUCUCGAAACUCUUUCAAUCAGAAAAAAAUCGAGAUCUGUAUGCAAAAUCAACAACACCUGCACACAGAAAACAUAAAAAGCGAUUCAUAUUAAUGAAUAAACAUAUAUACAUGAGAUAAACAUGUCGAAUAUGGAAAUCAAAUACUGUUCACAAAACGAAUCCGAAAAUCAAGAGAGAGAGAGAGAGAGAGAGAGAGAGAGAGAGAGAGAGAGAGAGAGAGAGAGCGAGCGAGGGAAAUACCUUGGGCGAAGGGUAUUCAUAAACAGAUGACUAGAAAGAGAUUUUGAAGGGGGUGAAGAGAGGAAGCUAGAAAUGGGAGGUGGGUGACUAUUCAUUAGAAUGGGAUGAGAGAGAUGAUUGGGGACAGAUUUUUAGAAAAAAAUAUAUAUAUAUCUUUUCUUUGUGGGGAAUUAUUUACCUUUUAAAUAUAUUUUGUUUUUAAUUUAAGAUAUUUUUUGUUAUAAAAUUUUUAAAUAUAUAUAUAUCUUUACUAUCUUAUAAAACAAAUCUUAUUAUUUCUAAAAAUAGAUUAAAUAAAAUAAUAAUACUUUUUUAAGACAUCCAAAUCAUUAAGCUAAUUGUACAACUAAUCACUAAUAAAAUAAUAUUAAAAUUUAAACAAACUCCUAUAAAUCUUCUCUUCCAAGGUUUUGACCAGAUCUUUUUUCAUCCAAAUAAAUACUCAACACCCUAUAAUUUGGUCAUUUCAUGAAUUUUCUUUAUUUUUAAUAUGACAUGUUUCNNNNNNNNNNNNNNNNNNNNNNNNNNNNNNNNNNNNNNNNNNNNNNNNNNNNNNNNNNNNNNNNNNNNNNNNNNNNNNNNNNNNNNNNNNNNNNNNNNNNNNNNNNNNNNNNNNNNNNNNNNNNNNNNNNNNNNNNNNNNNNNNNNNNNNNNNNNNNNNNNNNNNNNNNNNNNNNNNNNNNNNNNNNNNNNNNNNNNNNNNNNNNNNNNNNNNNNNNNNNNNNNNNNNNNNNNNNNNNNNNNNNNNNNNNNNNNNNNNNNNNNNNNNNNNNNNNNNNNNNNNNNNNNNNNNNNNNNNNNNNNNNNNNNNNNNNNNNNNNNNNNNNNNNNNNNNNNNNNNNNNNNNNNNNNNNNNNNNNNNNNNNNNNNNNNNNNNNNNNNNNNNNNNNNNNNNNNNNNNNNNNNNNNNNNNNNNNNNNNNNNNNNNNNNNNNNNNNNNNNNNNNNNNNNNNNNNNNNNNNNNNNNNNNNNNNNNNNNNNNNNNNNNNNNNNNNNNNNNNNNNNNNNNNNNNNNNNNNNNNNNNNNNNNNNNNNNNNNNNNNNNNNNNNNNNNNNNNNNNNNNNNNNNNNNNNNNNNNNNNNNNNNNNNNNNNNNNNNNNNNNNNNNNNNNNNNNNNNNNNNNNNNNNNNNNNNNNNNNNNNNNNNNNNNNNNNNNNNNNNNNNNNNNNNNNNNNNNNNNNNNNNNNNNNNNNNNNNNNNNNNNNNNNNNNNNNNNNNNNAUAUAUAUAUAGAGAGAGAGAGAGAGAGAGAGAGAGAGAGGAUUAAUAUAAUAUGAGUGAAAGACCAAUUUUGAUACGUUAGAUUAAAAAAAUGAAUGGUUAAGUUGAUGAUUAUAUAUAGUUAGGAUUAAUAUAGUGUGAGUGAAAGAUCAAUUUUAAUACGUUAGAUUAAAAAAAAAUGAAUAGUUAAGAUGAUGAUGACAUGAUGGUAAUUAAUUUGAAUAAAUUAAUGAUUUUCGAUUUUAAAAUAACCUUUAAUGAUAGAUUGGUAAAAUUGACUAAUAAGAAAUUUUGGAAAGUAAAUAUGUUUAGGGAUACAAUUUAAACUAGAUUUCAAAAAAUAAAAUUAGAUUUUAUACAUUUUAAGUUAAUUAACGCUAACACAUUAUGAUUGUAAUUGAUUGCGAACGGCUAGAAAUUCUUAUACAAAAAAUGAUUAUUGUGUGCCGAUUCUUUAAUAAUGUUAUACUAUAUUAUUUAUACAUGAUUAAAUUAAUUAACACCGUCAAUUAGAUUAUAUUCUUUGAGAAUGAUCGGUAACUUCAUUCUUUCAUGACAAAAUUACAAAAAUGGUCCCUGUGGUUUAUUAAAAGUCAUAAAGUCAGUCCCUGCUAACUUUUUUAUAGAAAUAGUCCUUGUGGUUUGCAAAACAUGCACAUAUGGCCCGGCUGAAGGAUCGAACCUAAGACCUUCACCUAUUAAAUGGUCAAAGCCUUAACCAGUUAGGCUACAUGUAAUUUUGCUUUAUGUUUUCCAAAUACUAAUUCAUAUAAUAAGUAGAACGUUAAAACAUAAGCAAUAAAUAAAUUACAAAACACAUUUUUUUACGUAUUUUUUUAAUAAAACAAAAUGUAUUCUCGUAUUAUAAAAAAAAUUACAAACAAUUUGUAUGCAUUUUUAUGUAUUUAUUUUACAUAAAAACAUAUUUUUUUGUCUUUCAUAAUUUUUUUUCGUAAAAUAUAUAUAUUUUAUAUCUUUAAAAAAUACGUUUUCGUAAAUAUAUAAAUUUUUAUGUCUCUAAAAAAUACAUUUUCGUAUAUAAAAACGUAUUUCAUAAAAUAUUUUUUUUAUAUCUUUGAAAAAUAUGUUUUUGUAUAACAAAUACGUUUUAGUAAAAUAUAUUUUUUUAUGUCUUCGAAAUAAUAAUAAUUAACACUACUCAUGACAUAAAAAAAUAUAUAAAUUUUUUUGGAUCGAUAGUUCUAAAACCGGUGUUAAUUAUUAUUAUUAUUAUUUUACGAAAUAUAUAUAUUUUACGAAAUACAUUUUUUUUAUCCUUCGUAAAAUAUAUUUUUUUUAUAUUUUUAAAAAAUACGUUUUCCUAUAACAAAUACGUUUUCUUAUAACAAAUACGUUUUCAUGAAAUAUAUUUUUUUAUCUUUGAAAUAAUAAUAAUAAUUAACAUUACUCAUGACAUAAACAAAAUGUAUAAAUUCUUUUGGAUCAAUCGCUCUAAAACCGGUGUUAAUUAUUAUUAUUAUUUCAAAGACAUAGAAAAAUAUAUUUUACGAAAACGUAUUUGUUAUACAAAAACGUAUUUUUCAAAGAUAUAAAAAAAAUAUAUUUUACGAAAUUCGUUUUUAUAUAGGAAAACGUAUUUUUCAAAGAUAUAAUAUAUAUAUAUAUAUAUAANNNNNNNNNNNNNNNNNNNNNNNNNNNNNNNNNNNNNNNUAUAUAUAUAUAUUACGAAAAAAAAUUACGAAAGACAAAAAAAAUACGUUUUUAUGUAAAAAAAAUACAUAAAAAUGCAUACAAAUUGUUUGUAAUUUUUUUAUAAUACGAAAAUACAUUUUGUUUUAUUAAAAAAAUACUUAAAAAAAUGUGUUUUGUAAUUUAUUUAUUGCUUAUGUUUUAACAUUCUACUUAUUAUAUGAAUUAGUAUUUGGAAAAUAUAAACCAAAAAUACAUGCAGCCCAAUUGGUUAAGGCUUUGGCCAUUUAAUAGGUUGAGGUCUGAGGUUCAAUCCCUCCCCCAUCCUUCAGCCACAUAAUUAUUUUUUAAAAUAAUUUUCAAAAAUGGUCCCUGUNUCAUAUAUCACGAAUUUAGUCCCUUUAUAUCUGAAAAGACGAAAAUGCCCUUACCCUAACGGCUGAAUACUAACGGAGUUAGUAAAAAGGGUCAUAUGUGUAAGUUUUGCAAACCACAAGGACCAUUUGCAUCAAAAAAAAUUAGCAAGGGCUGACUUUGUGACUUUUGAUAAACCACAGGGACCAUUUUUGUAAUUUUGUCUUCUUUCAUUUCAUUUUGUUGAUUAUUGUUCAUCCAUUCUUUAAAAAGACAAAAUUACAAAAAUAGUCCCUGUGGUUUGCCAAAAGUAAGAAAGUUAGUCCCUAUUAAUUUUGUUUGAUGCAAAUGCCCCCUGUGGUUUGCAAAACUUGCACAGAUAGCCCUUUUUACUAACAUCGUUAGUAUUCAGCCGUUAGAGACUGAAUUAACAAGGGUAUUUUCGUCUUUUCAUGUAUAAAGGGACUGGAUUCGCAACUUUGGGUAAACCAUAGGGACUAUUUUUGUAAUUCUGUCUUAAAAUGAUAAAAAUGAUAGAAAAUGAGGAGAUAAGGAUUCGAACUCGAGACCUCCUUCCCACCUUCUUAUUCAGCCAAAGCUCUAACCAACUAAGCUAAAGCCAAACUUAUUGUAUAUUUCCGAAAAUUAAUUAAUAUUAUAUAAAAGCGUAAAUAAUUAAUAAUAAAAAAAUAAAAAAAAAACCUAUUUUUUAAAAAAAAAUUAAUAAAACAAAAUAUAUUUUUAGCGUAUUAUAAAAAAACAUAUUUUUUACAAAAACUUUACUUCUUUAUUUACGUAUUUGUUUUACAUAAAAUAUUUUUUUUAUGUAUUUAAAAAAAUACGAUUUCGUAUACUAUGUUAUUACAUUGCUAUGAUCCUAAAACAUGUUUUUACGUUUUCAUAUAAAAUUACGUUUUUUUUUUCUUUCACAUAGAAAAAAAAGUUUUUUUUUCGCAUAAAAUAUUUUUUUUAUAUAUUUAAAAAAUAUAUUUUCGUAUAAAAUGUUUUUACGUAAAAACAUUAAGAACGUGAUAACAUAACGUAAAAAUAUGUUUUAUGAUCAAAUCAAAACGACUUAUAUUUUUUAGAUAAAAAUGCGUUUUUUUUACAUAAAAAUACGUUUUUUUACGUAAAAAUAUAUUUUUUACGUAAAGCAAAUUAAAGACAUUUUUUUUACAUAUGGGUGAUUGGUCCCUCCCCCAUAUAGUUUGUUCCGCCCAACCCACUUCAACGAUUUCCUAAGAAAGAAGUUAAUUUAAAAAGGUCAACACAAAAAUGUUGGUGAAUUCAUAAGCAUGUUUGAGAAAAUGAUUUGUAUAAUUUUGUAAUUACCAGAAAAUCCUAUAUUUUCUGAAAAACAGUUUCAGUAUGCGUGUGUCCGAUCUUGUAUUAAUGCAUGUGUGUUAUUGUUUACUAGUAUGCAAAGAAAAUGAAGAAAAAGAAAGAGAAUGUACAGAGAAUGCCCCAUACAACCCUAUGUUGUCUGUAAAAGAGAAUGCCGGUAUACCAACCCCCGAGGUUGAGUACCGACGCGAGUAUGUUCCCGAGUAGUCCAUUUAGAAAAGAGAAUGGUCUCCUGUAAAUUUGUAAUGUUAAUUCCUCUAAGUGAGUCGCUAUAACCAUACUAGAUAAUGACAAUUUCGCCUGUCACGACGUUGUUGGACGCCGACGGAAAUAGAAUAAGGUUUUCGUCACCAUAGAUUGAUUUAGUCUAACUGUAGCGAACAACUCAGGUGUGGGGUGUCAUCCCCGUAUAGAUCUAUACACAAAUCCCCGCUCUCCCUCUAAGAGACUCUGGUUAUAACUAUAGGCUACGAUCGUACACUCAAUAGGUGUCGACCGACACGUCUCACUAGAUCCUUAAUCGAAAUUCAUGCGAAAAGAAACAUAUAAUGCACACUCCAAGCCCAAUGAAUCAUGUUAGCGAACAACUACGACUCACUAAACAUGUAAGUCAUUUCAAGGCUCGAAAGGAAAGACAUUAUAUAACAUGGGCCCAAAAUAUAUGUAAAAGUACACUAAGGCCCAUCUUACAUGUGUAUUAUUUACAGCCCCAAAUAGAAUGCAAAGAGUAUCCAAGGUCCGUUGAGCAUGCUAGUGGGUUAAUAAGGCCCAAUAAACAUAUAAAGAGUAUUCAGGACCUAUCAAGCAUAUAAAUGGGUCACCAAGGCCCAAUAACCAUGAGAAUCACAUAAUUAGCCCGUUUGUUAUUAUAUUGUUAGUUUUAGCUCAAUCAUUUACCAGAAUGACAUAAAAGGCCCACUUUUUGUAAAAAUGACAUUAUUGGCCAUUAAGCAAAAAAUUUACAAUUAAAGCCCAAUUUUGGUAAAAAUAACAUUUUAGGCCCCUUUUUAGAACAAAACUUGCAUUUAAGGCUAGUUUUUGUAAAAAUAACAUUUUUAACUCACUUUUGUCAAAAAUAUCAUUUUUGGCUUGGUUUUUAUAAAAAUAUGUAUUUUCAGCCAUUAUAGAUAAUUUCAUCUUUUUGGCCCAAAUUUUAUAAUUUCACAUCUUUAACCCUUAUUAUCACAAAUUUACAUUUAUGGCACAACUUUGUUGAAUAUGACAUUUAAGCCCACAAAAGAUCCAAAAUUACAAUUUUUGGCCCAAAGCCGUGAAAAGUCCAAAUAAGGCCCAUUUAUGAAAAUGUUUACAUUUUUAGUCCUUUUAAGGUCUCAAAUGUCGAAAUUAAACAUGUUUAGCAAAAAAAAUCCUUUUAAACCCCUUACUAACCGUGAGUUACAUAAAUAACCCAUUCUUUUGUCAUUUUGUAACUUUUAGCCCCUUCUAUGAAGUUUUUCUUAGCUUUAAGUAACUUAUAUGUAUUUUAACCUUUUCUUGUAAAAUAAGUUGAAAUAAGUGUUAUAUUAUACCAAUAUCACCAUCUUUUAAUAGAUCUUUAAGUUCAUGAAGUUCGCAACACAUAAAUACAUAUAUAACUAGAAAUACACACAAAAUCAUGCAUAUACACAUAGAUCUACACAAAACAACUUGUAUUCUCCCCCAAAACAAAGUAAAAAUCGAAAAUAGGGGGUAUGAACUCACAUUGCUUUGAAGCUUUCGGUUUUUGGUGAGGAAAUGAGAAAAUCUCGGCCCUAGAUAUUCCUUUGAGGAGAUUUUCGAGAUCUAUGAAGUUCUAAGAGCAUGGAUCAUGAAAUGAUGUGGGUUAAGAAGAGAUUUUUGGUGUAAACUUGAAGUUAAACCAUAGAGUCAAACAAGAACUUACUAAGAGUGAUGAGCUUCGAUGAAGAGUUCUUUAUGUGCCCUUAAAACUCACGAGAACUAGGAGGAUGAAAGAGGGAAGUUCUUGUGCUAGAGAGGAAGAAUAAGAGAAUCUUGAGUUUGAAAAUGAAGAGUGAUGGUGGGGAGGCCUUAUAGCCGAGAGUUUGAAGAAAAGAGAUGGAGAUAGAAAACAUUUCAUAAAAGUAUGGGAUUUUACAUUGUUGUAUGGUGGUUAUUGUACAUGGAUGACCACCAUGCAACAAUGAGGUGUCAUGGUUUCAAUCCUCUUAUUAUCUCUUCCUUUUUUAAAAUUAGGCCGAGAAUGAGGUAGUGUGAGGAGAAAUGUAGGGCUAGAAUUGAAUAUAUUUGAAACUACAAGAUCCAAGGUGGAAGUUUUCGGCCCAUUGGGGCCUCUUAGGGGUUUACGGCCCAAAAGAGUGAACAUAAUAGGUUUUAGGCCCAUUUAGGUUCAAGAAAACAUCUAUGUCCCAUUAUGGCCCAUAAAAAUGAAGUGAGUCAUUUUAGGCCCAACAUGGCCCAAAAUGCUUUAGCUUAAUGAAUGUGGGUCCAACUAGAGCCCAAAUAGGGUUCCUUGGCCCAACAUACCCAACUUGAAAGUUUAUUGGCCCAUUAGGCCUAAUAACAGGAUCCUAGUCUAUAAUAAAAUUGAACCGGGAUAUUUCGGGUUUCAGACCCAUAGUUAAGUAUACGAGAUGUAUUGCAUUAGGUUUUGGAACUUCACUCAAGAGUUUUGAUUCAAAAGGAUGAUUUUAAUUGAGCAUAAAGUAUGAUAUCCCCUUAGAGUACAAGUCUUAAAAUAGUUGAUGUUUACAUGAAAAUAGAAUUUCCUAGCUAAAAUGCUAUUUGUGACAUCAUCCCUCCGUUAGAAGGAAUUUCCUCCCGAAAUUCUUUUGAAAGAUAGGAUCACGAAUGAGAGAAUAAGUGAGGGUACUUAUGCUUUAUCUGGUCUUCGUGUUCCCAUGUGAAUUUUGGUCCACACUUAGCGUUCCAUCGAACCUUGACAAUCGGAAUGUGGCUCUGUUUCAUACGCUUCACUUCCCUAUCCAUUAUCUCGACCUGUUCUUCGACGAACAAGAGAUUCUCGUUUAUUUCGAUCUCUUCUAGAGGAAUGACAAGAGUUUCAUCUGCAAAGCACAUUUUCAAGUUCGAGACGUGGAACACAGGGUGUACGUUGUUGAGCUCCGAAGGUAGCUGCAACUUAUAAGUCACCGGACCAAUUUGGGCAAGAAUCUCGAACGGCCUGAUGUAUCGCGGAUUUAGUUUUCCUCGUUUCCCAAAACGGAUCAUUCCCUUCCAGGGAGAGACCUUCAAUAGUACUCGAUCUUCGACUUGGAAUUCCAGAGGUUUUUGUCGUUUGUCAGUGUAACUAUUUUUGUCGGUCAUGCGACGCUUGGAGUCGGGCUUUGAUUUGGAUUAUCUUCUUUGUAGUUUCUCGAAUGAUUUUCGGCCCUGUAAGGGUGCUGUCCGGUGAUUGCCCUUUUGCCAUCUGGGUGUCACCUACCUCAUCCCAGCAGAGAGGCGAUCUGCAUUUGCGACAAUAUAAGGCCUCAAAUGGAGCGACCCUUAUACUCAUGUGAUAGUUGUUGUUGUACGAGAAUUCAAUCAAGCGAAAGUGGGCAUCCCAUGACUUAACGAAAUCGAUCACACAGGCUCGGAGCAUGUCCUUGAGUGUUUGGAUGGUCCGCUCGCUCUGGCUAUUGGUUUGAGGAUGUUAGGCAGUGCUGAUGUCUUGCUGUGUUCCCAGAGCCUUCUGGAGUGACUGCCAAAACCGUGAAGUAAAUCUACUAUCACGAUCCGAGAUUACAGAUAUUGACACUCCAUGGAGUCUCAUGAUCUCUUUGAUAUAGAUUCGGGUUAAUCAUUCCAUCUUGUAGGAUUCUUUUAUUGGCAGGGAAUGAGCGGAUUUAGUUAACCUAUCGACAAUCACCCAGAUAGUGUAACAACCAAAAAUUUCACACCAAUUUUUUUAACCAUCAUAAAACACGUGUCUCAUUAACAAAAUCUAAUAUCCAUCAAAAAAGUUUUCAAAACAAAAAGUCAAAUCUAGGAUCCACAAACAUAGCUCCAUAACGAGAGUGUAUGUACAAUCAUGUCGGUGCCUUCCUGCGAUCCUCUAAGGUACCUAAAACACAUAACACGUAACACGGUAAACAUGAAUGCUCAGUGAGUUCCCCAAAAUACCACAUACAACAAUUUGCCAUUCGAGGCUAUACUCUGUAUGACCCUCUGGUCAUUGUGUCUCAGCGGGACCCUCCAGUCCCGUAGCUCAUUGGACCCUUUGGCCCGGUCUAGCUCGUUGGACCCUCUGGUCCGGUCUGGUUGAGGACCCUCUGGCAUCGUAAAUCGUUGGACCCUCUGGUCCGGUCAGAAUAACACAUAGCAUACAUAAAUCACAAUACACGUAAUCUCAAGCAAACAUGUAUGACCUUUCGGUCCACACAUAGAUACCACCCUAAGUAAUGUAUAGUGAGAAGACUCACCUCGGGUAAACUCGGAUGAUCUCGUACUCGAAACACUGAUCUAGCCUCCGCCUAAUCACAUACAGAAAUUACCUCUAGUUAACAAUGGCUCUCAAAGGCUAGACUAUUCCCUUCCUAUGCUCUCUCUCAGAAGGGUAAAAGACCAUUCUACCCUUCCUGACCUCUUACACUCAUCUUGACCAAACCCUAAGGUCAACAAAGUCAACAGUCCAUCUUUUGACCAAACUCGUCGAGUGCACUCGGGCGACUCAUCGAUUCUAGUCGAUUCAUGGCAACCCCAGUAAGCUCCAACUCAACGAGCUAACUCCUAACCCAUCGGGUCACCACUUGAAUCAGUUCAUCGGGAUAAAACCCUGGGCUACUCGCCGAGUCAGCGACUCGACUCGGCGAGUCUAUUCAGACUCUCUUGCAUUCAGCCAUUUUAGUGCAAGAUACUUUCCCAAGCUUUAUAUCUAAGCACUCAAGGCUAAAUAAUCACGUAAAGGUUCGACCUUUAUGUCCAUGCAUCACUCAUCUAGCUCUAUUUGACAAAAUAACCCUCAAAGUGGUGUCUUUGGUUCAAUAUUCUUAUGUAACUGCAUAAAGUUGGGCUCUUGGGACUCUCUGGACCUCUCAAGGUCCAGAUCUGAUGUCUAAGCCUCAAAGGGACUUCACAUGCUUCAUAUCUCAACUUAAAAGAGGGUAAAGAAGCCCUAAAUACAUGAGAUCUACUAAUCAUAUGAAAACAAGUAUGGAUUCAUACCUCCAACAACAGCCUUGAAUGAAAUAAUGGAAGAUUUGAGCCCCCCCCCCUAGCCAGUUAAGCUUGAACCUUCUCCUUCUUCCUUGCAAGAAUGCACCAAAAUGAAGCAAUUAGCUCCCUCUAUCUCUCUAAGCUCUCUGGAUCGAUUUGAGGUCUCUCAAGGGGAAGUGUGGCCGCAAAUGAAGGCCAUAAGAGCCUUUAAAUAGGUCACAAACCCGGGCAAUUAGGGUUUUCCUCAGCAGCGCUGACUUAGCGAGUUAGAUACCCGACUCAUUGAGUCCAUUCAUUAAACACGUCACCAAGUCGCGAGCCCACUCGACGAGUUGAGGCACCAACUCGUCGACUCCCUCUAAAAUUCUUAAAUCAAAUAUUAAGAAUAAUAUAUUUGGAAAACGGAUGUUACAAUUCUCCCCCAUUAGAAUCAGACUUCGCCCUCGAAGUCCUGCUUUGCAAAUAGCUCGGGGUACUACUCCCGCAUCUCCGACUCCGGCUCCCAAGUUAAAUCGGACCCCUUUCGAUGUUGCCACUGGACCUGAACCAGGGGCACUUCCUUUUUCCUCAAAACCUUUACCUUCUGAUCUAUGAUCUUGAUCGGCCUCUCGAUGUAAUUCAGGCUCGCAUCCACCUGAAUGUCCUCUAAUGUUACUACUGCCGUCUCAUCAGCCACACACUUCUGCAACUGGGAUACGUGGAAGUUGUUAUGGAUCUGGCUCAACUCCUCAGGUAGCUCCAGCUGAUAUGCUACCUUGCUUACCCUGGCGAUCAUCCUAAAAGGUCCAAUAUAUCGGGGCCCCAACUUGCCCUACUUCCUAAACCGGAUUACUCCUUUCCAUGGGGAAACUUUCAGAAGCACAAAAUAUCCGACCUGGAACUCAAGCUCGGAUCGUCGUCUAUCCGCGUAACUCUUCUGACGAAUCUGAGCCGUUUGCAACCUUUGUCUAACCUGUUGAAUCUGCUCGGUCAUCUUCAGCACUAUCUCAGUGGCGCCCAUAACUCUGUGUCCCACCUCUUCCCAACAGAUGGGAGUACGACACCUCCUCUCAUAAAGGAGCUCAAAGAGAGGCAUACCGAUGCUCGAGAGAUGGUUGUUGUUAUAGGAAAACUCAGCCAAGGGUAGGUAUGUGUCCCAACUCCUAUUGAAAUCCAUAACGCAUGCUCGGAGCAUGUCUUCGAGCGUCUGAAUCUUCCGCUCACUAUGAGGCACCCAAAUCCGACCUCGAAUGGUCAUAAGUCCCCGGCUAUCCGUCACAAACUUGGAUACUUGGCCGAUCACCUGCUCCUUCUUGCAGUUCUCUAGUCUCAUGGCCUCCGCUUGGGCCUCUCAAAUGAUAUCCAAUACCAGAGUCAUCACUGUCAUCCUCAUGCAUAUAUCCCAAAUCGGGGCACUCUCCACCUUGCGGCUCAGGGCAUCGGCUACCACGUUAGCCUUGCUUGGGUGAUAUAGAAUCUCACAGUCGUAAUCUUCUACCACAUCCAACAACCUUCUCUGGCGCAUAUUCAGGUUAAGCUGAUCCAUCAGAUACUUCAAGCUCUUGUGGUCCGUGUAUAUGGUACACCGAACCCCGUACAAGUAAUGGCGCCAGAUCUUGAGGGCGAACACCACUGCCCCCAACUCUAAAUCGUGGGUGGGAUACCUCGUCUCAUGAGGCUUCAGCUGCCUUGAUGCAUAUGCUAUCAUGUGCCCUCUCUAUAUAAGCACUACACCUAACCCCGAUAUAGAUGCAUCACAGUAAACCACAAAGUCCUCCAUCCCCUCAGGAAGAGCUAACACUAGAGCUUAGCACAAUCUCUGGUGAAGAGUCUCAAACGAGGUCUGCUGCUCAGGACCCCAAACAAAAGCAACGCUCUUCCUGGUCAACUUGGUGAGAGGAACAACAAUCUUGGAGAAAUCUCUGAUAAACCUCCGUUAGUAGCCCACCAACCCCAGAAAACUCCUGAUCUCGGUGGGGGAUCUCGACACCUCCCGCCUCAAUCUUGGCCGAGUCAACCAAAAUCCUAUUCUGAUUAACGAGGUGUCCCAAGAAUUGGACCUCUCGUAACCAGAAAUCACACUUGGAGAAUUUGGCAUAAAGACUCUCUCAUCUCAAUACUCUAAGGACCUAUCUCAAAUUCUCCUCAUGCUGCUCUCUAGACCUCGAAUACACCAAAAUAUUGUUGAUGAACACAAUCACCGAAUGAUCCAACAUAGGUCUGCAUACCCGGUUCAUGAGAGCAUGAACGCUGGUGGUGCAUUUGCGAGCCCGAAGGCAUCACCACAAACUCGUAAUGCCCAUAACGAUUUCUAAAUGUUGUCUUCUGAAUAUCCUCCUCACGGACCCUCAUCUGGUGAUAACCAGACCUCAAAUCGAUCUUGGAAAACCAAGAUGCACCCUGCAACUGAUCGAACAAAUCGUCGAUCCUCAGGAGUGGAUACUGGUUCUUGACCGCCAGCUUGUUCAACUCCCGGCAAUCAUGCACAUCCGGUGUAAACCAUCCUUUUUCUUGACAAAAAGGAUCGGUUCUCCCCACGCUGAAAAGAUGGGAGAAUACUUUAGUAUCAGUUUUGUGAUCAUCUUAAUGAUUAAGAAACCAUAGCACAAUUAGUUCUCUAAGGAAUCUUAGUGCAUUCUUAUGACUAAGAAGAGGAAUUUUGAAUUGCUGAAAUGGUUAAAUCAAGAAGAUGAGUCAUACUUCGUUCCAAUAUAAGUCUUAGAGUCAUACUCCAAGAUUGUAACUUGAGUGACAUGUCUUAAAGAAGGUUUAAAACACUUGUCAAAUGUAAGAGUAAAAGUUUUCUACUCUUGUACAUUUGAAAUUGGUAAGUUGUGAUGUUUUGGAUAAAACAAAGACCAACUAAGGCCAAAUGUGUGAAGUGUUUGUCUUGAUUAGAAUCCGUACUAUCUCUUGGAUGUUUGACAAGGGAGUCUUAUAUGUAAAGAGGACAGUGGGAGUCUUAAAGGUCUUGAAAGUCUCAAGAACUAAUCAAGAAUGAAACCUGAAGUUCCUCACUAGCACACGACUUGAGGUUCAUAACCUAUUGUGUUGACAUAUUUUGUACCCAUUCCAAUUAAAGUUGGCUUUGCAUAUGAGUCCUUAGAGUUCUCAAUUGGUUGCACAACAAACUUGGAAGCAAUGGUAGGCCCUUGAGCUGCCAGGUGGCAAGAAAUUAAGAUUGAGUUCAGUCCAUAUGAAUUUGGAUUUUUCAUUAUCCUUGUCUUGUGACAAUGAUUUUGACAAUUCACAUGGAUAAGAACACAUACACCAUUAAAUCUAAGUGUCAUAAGGUUUCUCUCCGAUUCAUGAAAAUGAUGGUGAGGAAACACUUUCACUAAGUAGAUUUUAGCUAGAUAGCAAUUGUGAUAUUUGCAUUCUCAAAGUCGUUAGUGGAGCGUGUGUGGUUAACCGGCACACUAACCUGGACUUGUGAGAAGUGGCAAAAAGGUCUAACCAUUAUGAUUACGGCAUCCCUCUUCAUAAUUGUUUAGACACACAAGUGUGCUAUCUAAGGGAAGGUGUAUGAUUUUGAUAAAGUUUUAUCAAAACAAUCUAGUAUCAGAAAUCUGAACUUUGGUAAGAAAGUCAAUGAAGUAUUGAUUUCUAGAAGUCCAGCUGAUUUCUGAGUACAUGUCAAAGCUAGUGGGAGCAUAAGUGUUAUGCUAAUAAUCAUCAUGUUAGUGGGAGCAUGAUAAUUAUGAUAAGUAUUGCAAGUUAGCAAUGUUAAUUAUAGAAAACAAAAGUUUCAAUUGGGAAAAAGUUGUUUUGCUAUAAUUAAGGGAGAGGAAAUUAUACUUCAUCUCAAAUCUAUAAGCUUAGAUCGUGAGGUUUUAAUCAUUUAGUCAAAGAUAUAUAUGAAUUUCAUGUUGGAAUGGCUCAACAUAAGGAAAUUCUGUAUAUGGGUCCAUUAUUUGCGUUCUAAAAUUCGAUUAUGAUUACGGCAUCCCUUUUCAUAAUCUGAAUUAUGAGAACUUGGCAAAUAGAAAUGGAAAUAUUAUAGCAAAAGACUGGUUUAGUCUUUAUGUGAGACAUCAUGAAUCGUGUCCCAUAUGCUUCGGAUAUAGGAUCGAUUACAUGUGCUAUAUUCAUCCGUUCUAAAAUUUUCCAAAUGCCUGGGGCAUUAAGAAGGGAAAAGGUUUAGAACUGGAUAUGACUAAAAGGAUUAAACAAUUGUCGAGGACAAUCUAAGGUUUACCAAAGAUUGGUUGCUCAAGGACAGUUGGAAGUAUAGUGAUAAUUCUGGAAGGACCAUAUUGACAUAAUCUGUAAGGAGGCAACUCUUGUUCAGAAGUGAUAGUCAAAAUGGAAUAUGGAAAUGUUUCAAAGUUAGAAAUUAUUCAAUCUGUGUAAGAUUAGGAAACUUAAUGCAAGAAGGAUGUUCCCAAGGAGCUGAUCUCCUGUGGAAUACUUUGUAAUGGUUGUUGUCAAGUCCUUGUGAUUUUGUGCAUAAUCAUUACAAGAAGAUCAAUGCAUAUAAGUUUAUAAUCUAAUAGAUUUCUGUAAAUGGCAUGAAUCUGGAAUUCUUCCAUUUGCAGUAAGGAUUUGGGACUGUGAAAUGAGAAUCAUUGGAGUUAUGUUCAAUUGAUCUAUUUCACAAACUAAAGAUCAUAGACAAACAUAGUAUGCAUACUUGGUGUGUGGCAUGACUAGUGUUUAGAAAACAUAGUGUACAUGAUUGGAGCAUGGGACAACUAUUGUUUUAAAUUCAAGAAUAAAGUUGAUAGCUGAAACAGUAUACAAUGAAUAAUGUGUAAUCAUAUGGUGAUAAAUAAAAGGUGUUUUAUUUAUGUUCAUAGGUUUUG
RNAcentral lists this long non-coding RNA (47376 nucleotides) under Lactuca sativa (garden lettuce). RNAcentral describes it as "long non-coding RNA (LSAT_LNC008797)". The record is from RNAcentral. Lineage: Eukaryota; Viridiplantae; Streptophyta; Magnoliopsida; Asterales; Asteraceae.